This 51258-nucleotide long non-coding RNA is filed under the name Eucalyptus grandis. Its description in RNAcentral is "long non-coding RNA (EGRA_LNC004922)". Lineage: Eukaryota; Viridiplantae; Streptophyta; Magnoliopsida; Myrtales; Myrtaceae. The record is from RNAcentral.
CCAUUUCCUCCUUCUGUGGCUUCGAUAGCACGGAGAUGCUCCCAAACGACAGGUAGAUCACUGACGCCUUUGGCUUCGUGUCCAGCCACUCGAUGUAGCCGCUUGAGCUCUUGAAGAGGUCGCCCCCGAAAGAAGUGUCCGAUGGAUCUUGCCCGUCCAAAAAUGCGGACGGGAUCAGCGGCCCGAUCCCAAUCACCUUAAACUUAUCGAUAGCCUGUAUGGCGUCUGGUUCCAGCGCAUCGAAGGUGUUUGCCAGCACCCUUGGAUUGGCCUCCUCAAGUAGUAUCUCGAAAUGACGCUGGAAAAGGGGGAGGGUGAAGUUGUACUCAUCUUUAGAAUUGCAAAAUGAGGGUAUGUCGCUGGCCAUGAGAGGCGGCAACCCAGGCAAUUGGAUUGGCAGCGAAGGAUUGUCGCCUGUGCUUCGAAUAAGAUCCCCGUAGCCAUGGAAGUAAUAAUAGUAGAAGUCCAAAACAGUGGCCGGUUGAAUCCAAACAAGCGUCGAAGGAAUACCAUGAGAACGAGCGACAUCAGCAACCCACGGAAGGACGGUGGUGUAGAAUACACCCAAUAAUCGCAGACCGUUCUCAAGGUUCGAGGCGAUGAGAUCGCUUAAAGUCUCCGAUCCUCGUCGCUUGAGGUCGUCCAUGUAUACCUCGAUAUCUUGCCCUUCUUUGACACCUUCGUCGUAGCCAUCAGAGAAGCUGGCGAAGGAUAGCCCCUCGGGAGGAGAUUUCGACUCGGCCAUGCGGAGGUGGGCACGAAUGGCAGUGGCGAAGGUCACGUGAGCGCCAACACGCACCAGACGCUUGGCGAAUUGGAGGGACGGGUUUAUGUGGCCCUGGCCGGGGAAGGUCACGAGGAGGAAGUGCGGAGGUGCCAUGGACGAGGAUCGAAGAAAUUCUUUGGAAAUAGUAAGGACGCCGAGGCAGCACUCGACAGGAGAUAUGCGGUAUGUGGAUGGGAGAGGAUCAACGAGGAGAUUAAGGUGGAGACUGUCCGUUAUAAAUAAGGACGUCUCUGAAACUAUUACGUCUCGACAGGAGAUACGCUGUAUGUGGAUGGGAAAGUAUUAACGAGAAGAUUAAGGGUGCGUUUGUUUAUGUUUUUUUUUUCUUUUUUCUUGUCAUGAACAUAAUUUCUAUUUUUUUGUUCCGGGGAACAAAAAAAGAACAAAAAUGUGUUUCUUUACGUUUUUGAACAUGUUUUUGUUCCCGGGACUUGUUUCUGUUCCAAAGAACAAAUUUGGAAUAAAAAUAAGAAAUAAGAAAAAACUUGUUUCUUCAUUCCUGAAACACUUUUUGAAAAAUCAAAAGAACAAAAACACAAAAAAACUUGUUUCUUUUUUAUUCUUGCUUCCGUGCCCUCUGUCAUGAGAGUGCUAGUAUGAACACUUAGAGAGGUGAAUAGGUGUUUAAAAUAAAUCUUAGCAAAUAAAUGCGGAAUAAAAUAAAUUUCAAAUAAAGUCUGAAUAAUAAUUAGACUUUGAAACUGAGUCUAAAUAAUAACAGAUUUUAACAGUUAAAUAGAACUAGAAAUAAAAUAAAGAAGUUCGGGGAAGAGAAUAAGAAUACAUAAUUUAUAGUGGUUCAGCUUAGAUCAAGCCUACGUCUACUCUCCCACGCUAAUAACCUCCUGCAUGGAUUCCGCUAUGCAAUCAACAAGAGAUUACAACUUUUGAGUGCAAACACUCAGUGGUAGAUCACACUAUUUCACUAAGUCACUUUUUUGGUAUUUCUCUCACAAUCAUAAACGUUUAAGCUCACAAGAGAUAAGUGUAUGAUCGAAGGUCGCUCAGAUUUUGGAAUUAUAAAUUCUACGCUCCGUCUCUUACUUGCUCUUCGAUCCUUGGUUUUCUUAAAUAUUCCUCUACUUCCAAACUAGUCGUUGGACAGUAUCUCGAGGAUUGUCUUCCAAUAUAUCCAUUGGACAAAUCUGUAUCUAGAAGAUUUGAUAGCCGUUGAGUGAUAAAAGUAGAAUCCCAAAUUGAUUCUUAUUGCCCAUACAAACAGAAUUUCGGUUUCCAUAAGUAGAGCUUUUUCAUUUAGAAAGUUCUUGUCAUCAAGAUCCAAUUGCCAAUCAAUUAGAUUGAGUCAAUCAAAUCUAUUUUGAUGUGAAAUUUAAACCAGAUCACUAGCCGUUAUAUGUUUCGGGCUUGUGUUACGUUCUAUCAAGUUGUCUCGUUCUGAAUCUACUACGUUCUGAACUUGUGUCUCGUUCUGGAUGUAAAGUCUAAGGGUGUUCAGACUGAAGUAGAGUCUAAACAUAUUUUGCUUCUGAACAUAUUUAGCCUUAAGGUAUGGACACAGUCUAAAUAAGUUCAACUCCAUGUCUUUUGGUUCUUCCAAGUAUAAACUUUGAUAAUAUUUUUUACACGUACUAUCAUCUGCGUAGUCUUCUCAACUAUUAAACACGUUAGUAGUCUUUGAUUUAUUUUCAAAACAUCAUAAGGAAUUUCCCUAAUAAUCUCCCCCUUUUUUUAUGAUGACAAAACAAUCUCUGAAUAUGCAGAUGUUUAAAUAUGCUUUUAAUAGAUUAGGGCAAUCUUAAAGAAUAAUGUAAUUCAAUAUAGCAAAUAGAUUGAGCAUGUAAUUAUACAUGUAAAGAUAAUUGCAGCUCAAUAAAUAAUAUCAACCAAUCAACACAUAUGCAUAUUUAUAUUCUCUCCCCCCUUUUGUCAUAAUCAAAAAGCGAUAAUAAUAGAAAUAGUAUCACAUAGAGAAUAUAAAAUGAUAAUAAAUAUGUCUUGCACAAUUUCCAAAAAAAAAAAUAGCUUUUACAAAGUAAGUCGAAUAUUAAAGAUAUGCAAUAUAGCUCACUUCGAUCAUAAAUAUCCAAUAAAAAUCACAGAUGCAUUAUAAAAUUCACUUACUCUUUUUGUCAUAAUAAAAUGAUAAUAUCAAUUAGAGAUUUGUUAAUGACAAAAGGUAAUAAAAGAUGCACUUACCGGAUUUUUUUUUUCAAUUCUAACAAAUUCUGGCACAUUUACCUUUUCCUUCCUUGCACAAUAAUCAAGAUCAUGAUCAAUUCAUAAAGAUUUUUCCAUAAUUGAUCAAUGCUCCCCCUCAAUUUGUUGCCUUUUUGAGAUGAUCACGAUUCUUUCCUUUCUCUUGGAUUCGCUUUCUCCCUUUCGUACGACACAUAAGGGAUUUCCUCAAUAAUUUGCAAAAACUUUACACAAUGAAGAGAAUCUUUGAGCCUCCAGAAAAUAGUAUAUAAUCUCCACAAUUUUCAGAUCAAGUUUUCCAAAAUCCAUAUGAAGGAUUCUUUUUGCCACUUGCAAAUUCUUGUAUAACAGAUAACAAUCUUUGUAAAAAUAUCACGUAAUAUCUUCCUUUGAUUUGUGUAUCAAACUUGCUAGAUAAAACAUAUUUUCUAAGAAUGUAGCAAGAGUAUUCAAGAAUAUGAAAUAAUAUCUGAUCAAAGGGAUUUCCUUAAGCAUAAAUCUCAAAAAUAUAUAAUUGAUGUAUUUUGCAAAAAGAAAUUAGAUAUUUCUAUCACGUGUCAAGUCAAGUAAAGAAAAUUGCAAUCUCUUAUGUUUAUGACAAGGGAUAUUUGCAAUAUAAAUGAUAAACAAUCAUUAAAAAUCUUCAUAAAAUUGAGUAGAAAUUUGCAAGGCAGGAUGAAUAUAUAUAUAUAUACCCAAGGUAUAUGUUUGAAAUAUACCAUUGAUUAAAAAUUAUCAUUACCAAUCUUCGUAAGAGAUACUUUUCUAAUUGCACCAAAAUUUGCGUAGAUUCGCAAUCAUUCUUCUCUUAUGGAAUUUCCUACAAUGAACUCAUUUCUUUUUUAGUAUCCAUCAAUUUGCAUCAUUCCACUUUGUUAGAGAAAAAUAUAAAAUCUCUAAGAAUAAUCAAAUAUUCUUUCUAAACUCAUCAUAACAAAUAAUUUAAGGAAAGAAUAUUAUGUACAAUAAUAUUUUGAAAAAGAAAUUCUCACUUAAUCAAAGCACAAUAAAAUCAAAGAGAAUAAAAUCGUUGAAUAUUUAAGAAAGAAUAUUUUACAUAAUAAAUUAAUAUCAUGUAAAACAGAUUUCUACUAUGCAAAAUAUAAUAAAAUCUGAGAGCAUAAAAUUAAACCAAACAACUCAAUUGUCUCUAACCAAAAUAUAAAAAAUAAUCACACGUAUUAAAUCAAAUCUCAACUCACUAAUCACAGAAACAAAUCACAUGAUUCUUCCUCCAAUAAAACAAAAUAUGAUCAUUAUAAAAUCUUAAUCAACCAAGGAUAUAUCGAAUAUCAAGCAUAAUGAGAAUUAUGUGCACAAAAAAAAAAAAAAAAUACAUUCCUUACCAAAUUCUCUUUCUUCUUUUCCUUUAUUUCCUACAGAAAUAACUCAUCUUUUCUUUGGUACCUAUUUUGUCUUGGGUCCAUAAGAGUUAGUAGAGUAUGUUGUUUUUAUCCAAUCUUUCUUAAUAGGUCUUCAGACUUUAGGACAUUUUUUUUUCAAUAUGUUCUAAAUAUCCACAAUUUGAACACUUGAGGGCAUUUCGACCAACAGGUUUUGUAAAGAACCAAGGCUAUUCUGCCUUGUGUUGGAUGAAUUUCAUGGUUGCAUACUAUAUCUAGCAUUACAAUGAAAUGCUUAGGCUGAUCAUUUGGAUUUCAUAGCUCAAAGACAGGUUGGAGAGACAUGCCUUAAUGAAGUUAGUUCAAGAUCACAUCAGAUUCUCAAACUGGUAAUGGUGAAUUUUAUCUGUUUUGUGGUCAAUUUCUAUUAAAAUGUCAAUGAUUUAUUGUUCAUUGUUUCUGCUGCCAGACAGUUGAAAGUUCGGCUUAUGAGUUCUUAGGGAACGACAAUUCAAGCACUCUUUAUGAUAUUGUGGUAUGGAUAUUCAGUACUUUAACCUAUGUACAAUUGCUAGGAGAAUAUAAUAGUUUCUUUUGGCUGCAGAACUUCGUGGAUCUGGCAAGAAGUGAGCGUGCAUCUCAGUCAGUGAGCGUGCAUCUCAGUCAUUAUCGGCUGGUGCAAGGUUGAAAGAGGGCUGCCACAUAAAUCACAGUUUGCUGACUUUGGGAACAGUUAUCCGCAAGCUGAGGUUGGCCUUUCAGCUUGUUUUUUUGUUGUCUUCAUCUGAGAGAUCUUAUAAUUUAGUUGGACUGUGCACUGACAUGAACAUAGAGCACCACUGCAAUGCCUUUUCCGUGCCAAAGGUCCAUUUCUUACACGAUACUGGUUCACCUGCAUACACACAUGUUAUACGAAUAACAACAUCAUGAACAACCAAGCCUUCUCCCACAAAAUAGGACAGGGUAUAAAAGAGAAUCCCAGAAAUUACGACCGCAUGACACGUAUUGGCAGCCUCAAUUAGAACCCGAGGUUCUUCCUCAUGUAAGCUCAUUAGAAAAGGUCGAAAAGGAACACUUCAUUUAUGGCAAGCGCACUCCAAUGCCUUCAAAAUAAGUUGAUGGUAUCUGCUGCUUUUUAUUAUUAUUAUUAUUAAUCUUUAGAUAAUAUUAAUAAUAUUAUCGAGAUGUUGAUACAUCAAUGUUGGUUCUUCCAAUCAUUUCUGUUUCCAUUUUUUUUCAUUAAAAUACAAAGACCAUCUAGGUUACCAUGCAGAUUUUAACAUCAAGAAGAUUAACUGUUUCAAAGCAUAAGAAGUCAAGAUACUCAAGAGUAGUUGUUUAGGUUCAUUUGGAGCAAGUUUGAACUUUUCACAUUUCCUUUUAUUGUAGUGUUUGAAAUUUGACUUUUAUUACACAUUGAACAUCUUAAAAUUUUGAAACAUAUGAAUUUUGACAUGUGUGGUUGUAUAGACUCUUUUUAAUAUAUUUUGACACGGUAAGGUUUCUCACGAUACUCUUUAUUUUAUUUUGAGCAUUCUAUUUCAUUGAUCAUUGAUAGUCAUAGUACUAUGUAGUUCUUGUAGCUCAAAAUGCAACUUAUGUUCUAUUCUAUACAAGUUAGUUCAAGAAUUGUCAAUGUUGUCAUUAUAGUCUUCUUCGGUUGCGUCUCUUGAGAAUGAUUUUGUGUAUGGCAUGUAGUUCCUAUAGUAUUAUGUUAUUGAUUUAACUCAUAACUCAUAUAAUGCUCAACCGGUGAAAGAUUAAAUGGCAUUUGAGAGACAACCAUUCAGUGCAACGUGGACCGAGUCUAUAACCAACCUAUUUAUUGGUUUGUUGGUGGAUGAGGUCAAAAAUGGAAAUCGCACCUCUUCUACUUACAACAAAAUUGGGUGGAAGAAUAUACAAACUAAAUUCGUUAAAUAGACAGGAUGCCAAUAUAGCAUAGUCCAGCUGAGGAACAAGGUAAACAAACUGAGAAAACAAUAUGACAGUUUUCAGAAAUUCAUUUCUUAGUCUAGAUUUGGUUGGGAUAAUGUGAAUAAAAGAGUUGUUGUCGACGAUCCAAGUAUAUGGGAAUCUCACAUCAAUGUAUCUUUUUAACUUUUUGGUCAUUUUUAUAUCAUUAUAGAUGUAAAUUUUAAAAUGUAUGAUUAUAUUACUGAAAUGUUAUUAUUGUAAAAAUUGUAGGAUAAUGUCGAGUGGGCAAAAUUCAAGAAGGAUGGAUUUCCUCAGUAUCCCGAGCUAUGUAUUGUAUUUGGUGGUACAUAUGUUAUUGGGGAUUAUGCCAUAAGAAAUGCUCAAGAUUUGACGGUGUUGGAGGAAGAUGACAAUGGUGAUGGCAAUGUAGGUGGUGACAACGGUGGUGGCAAUGUAGAUGGUGACAAUGGUGGUGGCAAUACAAAUGACUUCAGUGAUCACCACAUUGAUGAGAGAGUUUUUACAUCAAAUAAUACUGCAACUUCAAUUCAUGGAAAGCACAAAUUGGAUAGGACUCCAAAUACUAAGAGGAGAAGAAAUAGUAACCAAGCCGGUAUUGCUGACACUUGCAAAGCCAUACAAGAUUUUUUAAAAGUUAGGUCAAGUCAAUCUGGUAGUGGCUCUGCGACCUCAGGGAUUACACCACCACCUGUAGACCCUUUCUCUGUAUUUGCUAUGAUUGAUAUUCUAGUUAGUAUGCCUGAGCUAGAGCAAGAUGUUUAUAAUAAAGCAGUGGAACGAGCAUGCGUUAGUGCCCCAUAGAGGGAGGCUUUCAUUAAAUCCCCACCUGGAAGGAGAAAUGGACUUCUUUAUUGUCUUUAGCAGAUGUUUGGAAAUAUAUUAUGGAUUGCAUGGGGUUUCUUAGACUGUAUAACUUAUGUUAUCUAUUAAUAUUUAGUUUUUAAAGAUAAUAGUGUUGAGACUCUUGUACUUAUAUGUAAUGGCAUAUUCUAUUGAGACUCUAUGACUUAUGUUAUUGAUUGUUAUUGGAUAUAUUUUCAAAAGCUAUAUUGAUGUUUUUAUAUUUUUGUGAUGGUAUAUGUACUAUGGAAGGGGGAUCAAAUAGUGAGUCUAACGAGCAGGUAGAACGAGUUGAACAAUUAUUGGAUGAUGAUGAUCUUGACAUAUUGAUAGCGUGGUUGUGCAUGGUUGCAAUGGACGUGUCUGUGCAUACAAGAGAACCUAUUAGGGACAAUAAAUUAUCAGGACUCGAAUGGAUAAUGGAAAUUGUUUAUGGACAUUCAAAUAGGAUAUAUGAAGCUUUUAGGAUGGAGAGACAUGUUUUUCUGAAUUUAUAUGAUUUAAUGAGGGUAAGAGGUUGGUUGAAAGAUAGUUGAUUUGUUCUAAUAGAUUAACGAGUUGGGAUAUUCUUAUAUUUGGUUUGUCACAAUAGCUCAAAAAGAGAUUUAUGUGAGAGAUUCCAACAUUUGGGAGAAAUGAUCAGCAAGUAUUUCAACAUAGUGUUGAAAGCAAUUAUCAAACUUUUAAAAGAGAUAAUCAAACCACCGUCCUUUGAUGUCAUCCCACAAGAAAUUCUUAUAGAUCCUAGUCAUAAACGUUACUUUAAGGUAUGAUUUUUAUAUCAAUUUUAUACCGUCAAAUACAUGUAGUUGAAAAUCUUAUAUAAUAUUAUAUUGGUUAUAAAGACAAAUUUAUGAUUAUAUUAUGGUUGAAUAUCACAACAAAUUUAUAUAUAUAUCAUGUUAUAGGGAAAUAGUACGUGGUAGAUUCUGGUUCUGCAACACUUCCGGGAUUUUUAAUUCCAUUUAAAGGCGAACGGUAUCAUCUUAACGAUUAUAGAGGGAAUGAGAGAUGGCCAAGAACAGCAAGAGAAUUGUUCAACCAUAAGCACUCUUCACUAAAAAAUGUAAUUAAGAGGUCAUUUGGGGCAUUAAAGAAUCGCUUCACUAGUUUGAGACUUAUGCCUCCAUUUACAAUUUGGAAGCAAGCACUUGUUGUAAUUGCAUGUUGUUCUCUCCAUAAUUACAUUCAUGAUCAAGAUAGGAUAUAUAGAAACAUUUCCCUAUAUGGAGAUCCAAAGUAUCCGUUCGGACCUAGAGAAGUGGAGGUUGCAGAUGAUACAUUGCAUGAGCAAGCACCGGGGAUAAACAUGCUUAGGAUAAGCAUUGCAAAUAAAAUGGCAAGGGAUCACAAUAUGCUUGAGAUUUCAUGACUUUGUGUUUCUGACUUUUGUAAUAUUGUUUUUAAGUAUUCACUUGUCAAAGUCAAUGUGAUGAAGUUGAACAAUGAACUAUAUUACUUCUUUUAUUGUGAUGUCAUGUAUGAAAGGGUCAAUGUAGAGAUCUAUAAGAUACUAUUCUUUUUGCUAGCUCUUAUUGUACGAACUUUACUUAUAAAAUUUUCUUCGAAGUAUGCGCAUAUGACCAUGUUCAAAAUGUUUUUCUCCACUCACCAUGAACAAAAUUAAAUUGGUGAGUAUUUCAUGAGAAUGAGAAUUCAAUACCAAGUUUACACUUUAUAAAUAAAUAAAUAAAGCACUUGAGAAAAUUUGGAACAGAAAUUUUGUACAGAUUACCAAACGUGUUUAUAUUCUUUUUCUAUUUCAGGAACAUAAAUUUUGUGCCGUUAUCAAACGCGUUUCUGUUCUCUUUCUAUUCCAAAAACAAAAAUUUUGUGCAGUUAUCAAAAACAAUAUUUUGUUAAAAAUUAUUCUCCGGAACAGAAAUAGUCGUUACCAAACACACCCUGAGGUAGAGACUGUUCGUUAUAAAUAAGGAUGUCUCUGAAAUUAUUACGUCUAGGCUGACGAAUGAGGGAAUUGCUUGACUUGUACAAAGCGGUAAAGUCUGGAUUGUCUUGCUCUCUCUGGGGGAGGAAAUAUUGCCUGCGUAUUUACUUAUGUUAUUGGGUAACGUGACGAGUUAAGAAGUCAGUUAUUAGGGCAACACUUUUUUUGAACAUGAACAUGUUGAGGACCUUUAGAUAAUUUCUCUCGUCUCCACCGAUUUCACCACAUACGAGACAUCUCUAAUUUUUUAUACAUAAGACAAGAAAAAUAGUGAAAUUCACGAAGUCAAAAAUAUCAGAACGAUGAGUCUCCAGUACAAAAUUUUAAAAUACUUUGAAUUUCACUCUAACUAAAAAUCCUAAACCUUAAUCUCUCUUCUAUCUAUAUGUAGCUACUACGGUGAGAUAGUAAUUAGAAGUCCAUAGUCAAUGGCACGGCUAGGUGCGGAGACUCGCGGUUAACAGUGGGGGAUGAUGCCGCAACUUUGUCGUUGGAUGGAUCACGAACUGAAAUACACCAAACUGGAUGCUUCACUGCUAAGGGAACCAGCAGCUCGACGGGGAGGUACAGCAGGUCACGAGGACGUCGUGGCACAGUGGAGCUGGUGCUUCGCGGUUCGACGAGGGAGGAGCAUCAGCGACCGUUGCGGUCAAGGGAGCGGCGCUAGCGUCGGGGGGUCUCGGCCGUGAGGACUUGGCCGAAGACCUCUCUCUCUUCUUCUUUCCCCCUCUCGAUUAUCCCCCUCUCCAUGUGUCAGAGAAAGACCCCCUUCAAUUUGCAGAGGAAUGGAGCCCACAAAGAAACAAAAUUUCUUUCCUCUUUCCAAUCACAUAUACUGCAUGGCCGAGGCACAAUCUCCCUUCUUUUAUUUUAUUUUCCUUCUAUACGCCAAUUCCAUGCAAAUAUUUUAUUUGAUUGCGGGUGUUGAUCUCUGUCUUUGCCCACUCCACUUUUAUAAGCUAAAAAAGAAUCUUUGAACGAAGAGGAGGGAUACUGACCAAAAAAAAAAAAAAACGAAGAGGAGGGAUGGACUUUCCCUUCGCGAAUGCUCAUGCAUAUUUUCUUGAUUAUUCUUUCUUUUUUCUUCUUCUGGCCUUGCUUAGCCGAAUAUUGCCAAUACCCACCAAAACUGAUCUCGUCUUUUUUUCUUAAUAUUUACUUCAAUAAUUAUGCACGUACAAGCUCCUUCAAGAUCAUUGCCAAUUUUCCAAUUUGGUAUACCUCAUAAGUUCACUUUUGGCCAUUUAAAGAACGAUAGGCUUAGCCAAAUUCUCUCUCACCGAAGGUUUAGGCUGCGCAUGACAACGCUUCUUGGUUGAGGAAGAGUUUUUUUUUUUUUUCAAAAAUAGUUCUUUUUUAUUUCUAUUUCAAAGAACAAUUUCUAAGUAAAAGAACCAGUUUGAUAACUACACGAAAUUUCUACUUUUGGAAUAGAAAAAGAACAAAAAUGCGUUUGGUAAUGCAACAAUUUCUUUUUUGUAUUUGUUCAUUUUUUAUUCUUGCUCACAGAUCGCCGACCAUCAACCACCGGUCGUGGCUGCCGACGGCCGCCUGCCGGCCGCCACCACUGCAUGACCACCGGCCACUGCCCGUCACCGCCGACUGUCGCCCGUCACCGCCGACCGCUACUACACAGCCCAUCAGCCACAGACGACUGCCGACUGGCGGCGGCCAGCGGUCAGUGGUGGCUCUGGGCGGUUGGAGGUGGCUGCGACAAGAGAGAGGAAUAAAAGAAAAAUAAAAAAAGAAAAUUGACUUAUCUCUAAAAAUUGUUCCCGGAAAUAAGAAGCAACUUUUUUUUGCUUAUCAUUUUUACUCCAAAUCUAUUUCCAGGUUAACUUUCUAUUCCGAGGAAUAAAAAAUAACUUGGUGUUACCAAACGGAUUUAUGUUCUUUUUUUGUUCCAGGGAAUAAAAGAACAGAAAUUCGAAGGAGUUGAAAUGUUACCAUGCGCUGCCUUAGUCCAACUUGCUAAAUUAAAACUUAAAACCUUAAUUCAAACCCAUUUUCGUCGGUCCAAUGCAAAUGCAAUAAUAAAAAAUAUAAACUAAAUAAUAAAUCCUCCUAAAACUAUAUGCAAUGCAAUGUAAUUAUAAUAUUCUUGUUUGGGAGUUAAUUUUUAAUUUUUCAAAUAAAUGAAUGAUCAUGUCGUUAAAAUUUAGGUGUCAACAAUCACAAUAGGAGGAUGGAAAAUAUAGAGUAGUCCAAGCUUGAAGAAGCCAAAACAGCCCGAAAAAAGUGCCUUUUCAUUUGGACAGCAUAGUUUCGACAAAAGAAAAACAAAAAAAAAAAAACAAAUUUGGACAGCUUAGGCAAAGAUGCACGAGUAAAACCUUUAUACAGAGUAGCAAGAAUAAGCGGACCUAAAGCAAUCGAUGUACCUUCGGCAAGACUAGAGGCAACAACGAAGAGGUCCUGAGAUACUUGGAAAGCCGAAUAAAAGAUGUAAUUGGAAAGCUAGAAGAGCCAAAAAAAAGGGGACAUUGUCAUCGAGAGACUCGAGGAGUUCAGGAGGACCAACUUCUCUGACAGGCGUACUAGAAGGAAGAAAACCAACUGAAGCAUAAUCAUCCAGAAGGGUGAUCGACACAGCACCCCACGGCAAAAGAAACAGUUGGUUGAUGGAGACCAAAAAUUGAUGGCGACACCCAAAAGACCUAGGUUUAAAUUACAGCUGAAAUGGCUAAAUUGGAGAGCAGUGUCGAUGCUGGUCUUUUCCCAAAUACGUUGUAUUCGAACACCGGACUUCAUCCUCGAAUACCAUAUGUAGAAAUCAAUUUCAAAUGAGGGAAACCCCUGAAUCCUGAAGGCUUACUAAUCCAAACAUCUACUAUAGAAGAUCUCUGGAUGGGAAACAAUUCCCCGCUCCUUCGAGGAAAACAAGGUAUAAGGGAUGCAGGCAUUUGAAAAUGACUUUAAGACAAGGAUCAAGGAUGAUUGCAUCGGGAUAAUUAGCAAUCACAUUUAGAAUGUCAAGAUAGCAAUUUUUGUGAUGCUCAUCUUCUCGUAAACUGUCGAACUUAACGAUAUAGUCUGCGGAAGAAUAACUGGGGGGAUCAGGAGCCAUAGAGAAUAGUGAAGCUUAAGACGUUAACUCAAAAGGCCAGGGACUUUUAGACCAGACAAAGGAUUUAGGGCUUAAGGUUGAAGAUCAAUGGAGUAUAAAAAUCAAAUCUUUUUAUGAAUAUAUACUUUCUCAGAAUAGACGGCAAUUCAAAGGACGGUGAUUCAAAAAGAUGCAAUCCAUAAUGAUGACGAUCCGUGGUCCGAGUCAAACAAGACAAGUUAGCAAGCAUCAGAGGGACAAUACGCAUCCUGGCACUGGUCAUAGGAUAGACAUGGAUGCCUAAGGUAUUUCUUUAAAAUAAAUUUAAAUUACCUAUUAAAUCUUUUUAAAUGGGGCAUAUAUUUACUGAAAAAUGACCAAACUAUCGAUAUGAGAAGACACAUUAUUAGAACAUGAAAAAUUAAUGAGAAGGUGACCCGUUGUUGACAACUAAAAUUGGCAUCAAUGUUGGCACACAUUGAUUGUCACCAGCCAAUUACCAACCUACAACAACGUUUGGUCGAAGACAAUUGAUAUCAAUAAGUGGCCAAAAUGUUAGGAGAAAAUGAAUGCAUUGGAAGCAUCAAGAUAUGGUUAAUGGAUCAAAGUUAUUGAGAAGUAAAGUAAUCGAGAUCAUGGAGUAAUUGGUAUGCAUCCUUUUUAGGAAUAUCAACAUAGAAACGGGAUGGUAUCAUGAGAAUAUUGGCACAAGACUUUUGGAAGGAACUGUUCAAAAGCAAUUAUGACACAACUAUUAUAAAUAUCAUUGACCUUUCGGAAGGAACUGUUCAAAAUUUGUUUGAUAGUCCUCAUCAAAUACUAAAUUUUUAAUUUUUAGAUUGAUGUAUGCGAACUCACAUUAAGUAUUUUACUAAUAAAUAAUUAUGCAGGACAAAACCGAAGUCUCUUCAUCGAUUUUUUUUUCUAAUAAUUAAAUGUGGCAUGAGACAAGCAUAUCUUGCAUUCUCACCAAAUGGUCUUCCGUUAUUUAAGAAGACGACUAAUGUCUCUUGGUUUUGACCAAAUGGCUCAAUCCACCAUCUGCUAUUGCUCGGUCGUGUGGUUUAAGAGAAACGAAGGUAGAGAACUGGGGGAGUUUAUUAUCAUCAUCAUCAUCAUCAUUAUCAUCAUCAUCAUUUUUUUUUUUUGUCGAAGAGAAUUGGGGGAGUUUGAAAAUGGGCAAAUAUCAUGAAAAAUUCCAAAUUGAUAUACCUGUCACAAAUUUACCCUCAAUUAAUUUUUAAAUUAGCAAAAACAACAAAAUAGUAUUAUUGUGACAAAUUUUCCCUAACUUGAUAUGGAUUUCUAUGUGAACUUGACAUUAUCAUAUGUCAUCUAACUUAACAAUUUCACGAUAAAAUUUGAAUGAAGCUAACAGACGAUAUAUAUGUAAUAGAUGUAGCAUUUUGGGAUUUUUUGUGACCCAAAAAUUAAUUUAAAUAAAUUGAUCACAAAUAUAAUAGUUUUGGGUAAUUUAUGAUAAGUGUAUCAGUUUAGGAUUUUUCGUAAGUGGAUCCUUAAAAUAUAAUUAAAAAUGUUACAUGGGUCCCAAUCAUUCAUCUUUUAUCACCUCCACAAUUAGAACACUUCACUCAUGGGGUCUAUUUUCCGAUCAUGUCUUCAGCAAUAAGCCUCAAAUCACGCUCCUCUGUGAACUGCCACGCCUGCUUUCGGUCCUUGACAGUUAGCCAUCUGUCUAUACCGAUGAACUCACCGCCCUUUGCCGGUGGUCGCCGUGAUUCAACCCUCUUGGCAACCUCCUAGCAAGCGUGUGAGUGAGGCAUGAGCACUUUAACAUACACCAUAAAUCCUAGUCCCAGUCGAUAUUACAACCUUUGGUUCCUAAUUGAAGUUUAAGAUGGAAGAAAAUAUAACAAUCAAGUAUUUCAUAUUUUAUUAUUACUAAUAUGGAUUAUUGAUACGGAUCAAGACAUCGUAAUUCUUCUAUCAUCGAGAAAUGUUUUUCCCAUCGGUGGUAGGUGACCAUCAAGAUUCAAGACUCAGCAACAGAAGCGUCAGAUAUGGCGGGCUGGAAUAGAAGGAACGUGGUGCGACACUUCUAACAUGUUUAGAUUUCUCAAGGACUCUCCAGUCCACCCAGAAUGGGACAAAAAACAGAAAAAAAUGACACCUUGAUAGGGAAAAUAUUGUCCAAAACGACAAGCUACGACUCCAUGCCCCAAUGAAGGAUACAUAAAAGCCAUAUGAAGUGUGCAUUCGGUAAAAGUCCAUAAAGAAAACGACAAAUCCUCUGUCUUAAGGACAGAAAGAUCAAAGAAAGCACUUGGUUUAGCUGCUGACGCCACAGAUAAUUCACUCAGACGCUUCUCUGACCUCGUCCACGAAGGCCCUAAGGUUCUUGUCGGAAGACCCACCUUCCUUCGCAGCCUCCCUCGCCAAAUCCCUAAAUUUCUGGGCAUUCCUUCUCAUCUCAUCUCCCUCCUUUUCAUCUCCCAUCACCAGCUCCAAGCACCUCCUCAUCUCGCCGCUCUCCACCAGGCCUUGCUCGUUGGGCGUCACCUUCACCCCGGUCCUCCACACGUCCGUGACGAGCUUCGCGUUCGUCUGCUGAUCACUCCACUGCGGGAACGCCACCACGGGCACCCCGCAGACCAAGCUCUCUGAUGUGGAGUUCCACCCGCAGUGCGUCACGAAGCACCCCACCGAAUGGUGCGACAGGACCUCCACUUGCGAGCACCACGGCACUAUCAUCCCUAGAUUUUUCAGUUCUUCUUCGCAGCUCAAUCUAUCCUCGUCUCUCUCUUCUUUCCCGCUUGUCCGGAUGACCCACAAGAAUGGCCGACCAGCCUCUACAAGCGCUCGUGCCAUUUCCUCCUUCUGUGGCUUCGAUAGCACGGAGAUGCUCCCAAACGACAGGUAGAUCACUGACGCCUUUGGCUUCGUGUCCAGCCACUCGAUGUAGCCGCUUGAGCUCUUGAAGAGAUCGCCUCCGAAAGAAGUGUCCGAUGGAUCUUGCCCGUCCAAAAAUGCGGACGGGAUCAGCGGCCCGAUCCCAAUCACCUUAAACUUAUCGAUAGCCCGUAUGGCGUCUGGCUCCAGCGCAUCGAAGGUGUUUGUCAGCACCCUUGGAUUGGCCUCCUCAAGUAGUAUCUCGAAAUGACGCUGGAAAAGGGGGAGGCUGAAGUUGUACUCAUUUUUAGAAUUGCAAAAUGAGGGUAUGUCGCUGGCCAUGAGAGGCGGCAACCCAGGCAAUUGGAUUGGCAGCGAAGGAUUGUCGCCCGUGCUUCGAAUAAGAUCCCCGUAGCCAUGGAAGUAAUAAUAGUAGAAGUCCAAAACAGUGGCCGGUUGAAUCCAAACAAGCGUCGAAGGAAUACCAUGAGAACGAGCGACAUCAGCAACCCACGGAAGGAGGGUGGUGUAGAAUACUCCCAAUAAUCGCCGACCGUUCUCAAGGUUCGAGGCGAUGAGAUCGCUUAAAGUCUCCGAUCCUCGUCGCUUGAGGUCGUCCAUGUAUACCUCGAGAUCUUGCCCUUCUUUGACACCUUCGUCGUAGCCAUCAGAGAAGCUGGCGAAGGAUAGCCCCUCGGGAGGAGAUUUCGACUCGGCCGUGCGGAGGUGGGCGCGAAUGGCAGUGACGAAGGUCACGUGAGCGCCAACACGCACCAGACGCUUGGCGAAUUGGAGGGACGGGUUUAUGUGGCCCUGGCCGGGGAAGGUCACGAGGAGGAAGUGUGGAGGUGCCAUGGACGAGGCUCGAAGAAAUUCUUUGGAAAUGGUAGGGACGCUGAGGCAGCACUCGACAGGAGAUGCGCUGUAAGUGGAUGGGAGAGGAUUAACGAGGAGAUUAAGGUGGAGACUGUCCGUUAUAAAUAAGGACGUCUCUGAAAUUAUUUACGUCUAGGCUGACGAAUGAGGGAUUUGCUUGACCCGUACAAAGUGGUAAAGUCUGGAUUGUCUUGCUCUCUCUCAGGGAGGAAAUAUUGCCUGCGUAUUUACUUAUGUUAUUGGGUAAGUGACGAGUUUUUGUUUGGUCGGCACGUGACGAGUUAAGAAGUCAAUUAUUACAGAUGUAUUUUUCAAAGAUGAAUUGCAACUCUUUUUUUUUUAACAUGAACAUGUUGAGGACCUUUAGAUAAUUUCUCUCGUCUCCACCGACUUCGCCACAUAAGAGACAUCUCUAGUUUUUUUUAUACAUCAGAACAGCAAAAUANNNNNNNNNNNNNNNNNNNNNNNNNNNNNNNNNNNNNNNNNNNNNNNNNNNNNNNNNNNNNNNNNNNNNNNNNNNNNNNNNNNNNNNNNNNNNNNNNNNNAAAAAUUUUUAAAACUCUUUGAUUUUUCUGGGACUAGAAUUCCCACACCCGAAACUCCUUUUCCCCAUUUGGCGCCCCUAUGGGGCGACCCCCGGGAAAUGUAAAAAAGAAAGCCCCCCCCCCCCCCCCCCCUCCUCUCCCAUGACCUAGCGAGCUACAUAUUGAUACUUGAUUUUUAACUGACGCAUCUUAUGAAGAUAAAAGCUUGAGAUUACAGUUUCUGAUUGCGAUAGAGCCCGUUCCUCGACUAAAAAAGAGUAAUUUAAUACUUUUUUACAUUAGCACUUCAUUUUCAUUUUAAUCUCAUAAAAUCAAAUAGACAGCUAUUUUUUUUUUUUUUUGGUUAAAGUAUGAACGAAAAGUCAACCCCAAGUUAAAAUUUGAUUUUUUGAAUGAAAAACCACAAGCUAAUGUAAAUUAUACUUCCAGUGUCAAUUUUCCCAAAAAAAAAAAAAUCAAAAUUUAACUCCUUAAUUGACAUUUUAAUGAAAAAUCACCAAAACGUUAACUUUUGCCCAAAAAUAUUGAAAAUUUUUCAAAUCUCUAAAUCUUCCUCAUUUUACCUUAAUUUGACAUAGGCAUUAUCAAUUUUACAAUAAUCGAUCAAGAACCAAAUUUUCCCUAAUUUGUGGAUUUUGGUUUGAAAUUGACCAAAAAACAAAUUAGUUCAUUUCUAGUUAUUUUUAGGAAAAUUUUCUUAGCGACAUUUGAUCAUGAGGCCGUCUCACAUCCAAUUUUCAAGCUAAUUUUGAAAUUCCAAAUCAAAGGUAAAAAUCCCCAAUUUUGUCUCUAAUCCAGUGGGUAAUUCAUGAAUUGCUCAUUUAAAUCAUGAACAAGUCCAUUUUCUUAGAGACUACUAAAAUCCAAUAUCAAUUUUGACAAAUUCACACGAAUUCAAUUUGAUUUGACCAAUUUGGUUAAUAUGAAGUUUAUAAAAUCAAGCUAAUUUGGUCUAAUUGGUGCAAUUCAACUUAACCCAUUCUAAGGUAUUGGUUACUUUGACCAAAUGGGGUUCAAUUUGACAAUUAAACUUCAAUUUCAUUUUGGGGUUUAAUUGUUGUCAUCAAAUAAGCACGUGUCUGAAAUUAUUACGUCUUGGCUGACGAAUGAGGGAAUUGCUUGACAUGCACGAGUGGUAUGGUCUUGAUUGUCUUGCUCUCUCUAGAAGACAUUUCAAACAAUUAAAAUGUGCGUAUUUACUUAUGUCAUUGGGUCACAUGACUAACUAAGAAAUCAAUUAUUAGGGCCAUGUAUUUUCAAACAUGAAUUGCAAUUUUUUUUUCUUUUAAACAUGAACAUGUUGAGGACUUAGAUAAUUUAUCUCGUCUCCACCCAAUUUCGCCAAAUACGAGACAUCUCUAGUUUUUUAUACGUUGGAUGAGCAAAAUAAUGGAGUAUACACAUUCAAACAAAUACAUCACAACGGCGCGUCUCCUGUACAAAAUUUGAAAACACUUUGAAUUUCACUCAAGCUGAAAAUCCUAAACCUUAAUCUCUCUUCUAUCUAUAUGGAGCUACUAUGGUGUGACCUUAACCUCUCUUCUAUUCAUGACCUAGCUAGCUAUAUAACCCAAUAGCAUCAUUGACUUCAAUCGGCUUCUGGUCCCAACUCACUAUGAGAACGUGUUGGACUAUACUAUUAGACAAAAAAAAAAAAAAAAAUCAUUUCAAUGCAUGUCCCAUAUAUCUAUUGAUCUAAUAAAAUGAAUUUGAUUGCAAUAUUUCAUGAAGAAAUGCAUUAUCUACUUCACCAUAUAAAAAAAGGGAAAAAUUGUGCAAAAACUUCAAACUUGUUGUACUUUUGUCAAUUUAUUUAUAAAUAUUUUAGUUUUACCAAUUAAGUCAUAAAUUUUUUCACAUUUUGUCAUUUGAGUUCAUAUGGUCAAUUUUAAUUGGAAAUUGCAUACGUGAAUGUCGGUAGUGUAAUGUAGGACACUCAGCACUAAUGUGGACAAUUCUUUUUAAAUUUUUUUUUAUCUUUUUUAUUUAUCUUUAUUUUUUCACCAAGUUUGACGAGGGCUAGCCGACCCUUGCGAACCAUAGGGGAGGGCUGGUAGCCCAUGUCAACCCCUAGGCGAGGGCAAUGAAGCCCUCGCUAGUUGUGGGCGAGGGACUUGGUCCUGCCCACAGCCAUGGCUAGUGAAGACUUCACGACCCUCCCAUAGUGGCUAGCAAGGUCAACCGGUCCUCAAUUGCAAUUGGCAAGGGUUGGUUAGCAACCCUCUUGCCAAGCUUGGGAAAAAAAAAAAGGAAAAGAAAGAAAGAAAAUAAAUGAAUAAAUAAGUAAAAAAAAUUAAAAUAUUAUUAAAAAUUAUUCAUACCAAUAUCAGUCAUGCUAUGUAAGACAGUUGGUAUCCACAAUGGUGAUGCUAAAUGGACUCAAUUAAUAGUACGUAAUAAGGUUUAUGACUCAAUUGACAAAUUAAUUUUUUUUAAAUUUAAUUGGUAAAAGUACAAUAACCUUAGGACUAUUUGGACAUAAUUGGCAGUACAUGACAAGCCUAAGUCUAUUAUUAAUCCUAAUGAAAACUACAUGAAAACCCCUUGGCAUUUCCCAAUCGGCUUGAGCGGGACUCCCACAACAUCUUGUUGAUGGGGAGUAUGAACUACACUCUCAACAAUUAGCACACACAAUCGUGUCAGUACGUCACUACUUUGAACAUGGACUAAAAUGAAAAAAAAAAUGGUCACGAGGUGAAUUUUACGGAUCUUUUCAGUGGGAUGGAAAUAUCUUUAGUAAGAAUACUUUUUGUAAUUGGUUAAAUUUUGAUUAGUUAUUACUCAAUCUCUUUCCGUUGUUAUUUUGUGUUUUUCUAUUAUUUGGCCAACGAUGUACUUUUCCUCCAUUUAAACGCCCCUACUUUGCAAAUCCCAUCAAGCAUACAAAUUGGCCCGUUUUCAGAAGAACAAUGAAUCUGGGACCGAUGCGUCAAAUUUUCUAGAGUGACAGAUUCGUUAUCUUCUCAUUUUUCCUAUAUACAUCGAUAUGCAUAUUCAAAUCAUUUCUCUUUCUUUCCUUAUAGUGCAAUCAGGGCCUUUCAUCGAUUAUGUUGAUGUGGCAUGCUGAAUAUUUGACAUUACAUCAUAUAAAUACUUUUCGGUGUAUGUGGCGCCAACGUGAUGCCAGAUAUCUAACAAUUUUACAUGUGUUUAUUCUAUUUUUAUUUUAUUUUCCACGAAACAAACAUAGACAUAGUGAAGAUAACCUCAAUUGACAUAUAUGCAAAAGAUACUCAUAGUAAUGAUAGAAAGAAGAGCAAACACACGUAAAAUAAUAUCUAUCAACAUAUGUGCACACGACACAUGGGUCACAUAAUAGUUGUGUUAAAAUUUCCGUUGGAUUUUGGAUUUUAAACCCACUAAUCUUAUUGAACACAUUAAGUUAAAAAAGAUUGGGUAAAUUCACUAACUUGAGACUGUCAACUCAAUUUGUUAUGUAUGGUGAUAUGCAGAAUUUACAUUUGUAUAGGUGAAAAGUGGGAGGGAAAUUUGCUUGCUGAUGAAGAUAGAGUAGUAGUUUAUAGUUCUUUGAUACUUUGAUGCAUGAUAACGAUCAUAUCCCUAUUAUUGCUGUUGCCGAGUUUAUAACAAAUAUAGAUGUACACCAAAUUUAUAUAGAAAAGUGUUUAGCAAUUACCCAAUUUGUCUCUAAGAAUUUCAUCAAGAAUGUGUUAUCAAAGUUGUAAGUAAAAAGAGAAAAAGAAAGGAUUGUUGUUGUUAUAAAUAAUUGUGAUGAACAGUAUAUGAUUUGGUCAUACUUACAAACAACUAAUUAACACAUCUUUUGGGAAUAUAUACCUUAUCUCCUCAUCACCACUUUUCAUGUUAACAAUCACUUCUUUUCAUAUCCAAGAGUCGCAUUUUUUCAUGAUAAUGAAUCAUUUCAAUAAAAAGAUUGAACACCACAUCAAUAAGUGGAAAGACAAAGAACCAUUAUUGUAAGUGGUGCGCUCGCAGUGGAAAGUGUUGUUAGAAAAAGAUACUUAAUCACUAAUCAAACGGCAUUAAUAUCAAUUAGGUUUUUGUUUGAUGGGUUACAUGUCAGAAACAACACCCGAAUCCACCUCCCGUUCAUGCCCAUGUCAUCUGGGCUUUAGCGUCCGACCUUGCACCAAACCUAACGUUACCAUAUCAUUAGGAUCUAUCGCACUAAUUUGGUUGGGCCACAGUCAGUCUUAUAUUGGGUCGGACUAACUUUUCGUGCUCAGAGAACCCUGGCCAAUAAAAUCUUCACCACACUUACAUUUUCACCUAAGCCCAACCCACCGGGUCUGUUAACACCUUUACAAACACUAGUUCCUCGACCAUUGCCAGUCGAUCCUGAUAGUCGCGAUCAGUCCUCAAUUAUUGUCGAUCGAUCUCAAUGAUCAUUGAUCUAAAUGAUGAGGCUAGUACAUACACUUUAACAGAGACUUGACACAAAUAUGUUCAGUGGAUCCCUACACCUCCUUUUUAAUGCAAUUGCUCAUUGCCGUAACCGGGAGUUACACCACAUUAACUAUAAAGGCAAAAACAUUCUCACUUCAAUCCUGCCAUGAAAAGCCUAAGAUUGUCGUCUGAAGAUCCGCUUUCCUUGACCGCUCGCCUCGCCAAAGCUUUCCAUUUUGAGGCACUCUCACGCAUGCCUUCCUCGUGUGUCGGCCCCAUGACCAAGUCCAAGCACCUCUUCAUUUCUUCUCUUCCCACAACGCCUUCGCCGUCCGCCCUUGCCUUUACGCCUACCCCCCAUACGUCCUGGAUCAACUUGGCGUUCGUCAGCUGAUCCGAAAAUUGCGGACACGCAACCAUCGGCACGCCUGCUGUCAAGCUCUCGAGGGUCGAGUUCCACCCACAGUGCGUCACAUGGCAUCCUAUUGACUUAUGGUUCAAGACCUCCACCUGCAGACACCACGGUACUAUCAAUCCGGAAUCUCCAUCGAUUCUUCCCUUUAUCAUCGUGUCGAUUUCUUCUUGUUCACUGGUAUUGGAAGGCCGGAUCACCCACAAGAAUGGUUGGCCACUCUCGCGAAGUCCUUGGCAUAGCUCCUCCAUCUGAUUUUUCUUCAACACGGCCAAGCUCCCGAACGAUACGUAAAUCACUGAAGAUGCAGGCUUUGAGUCGAGCCACUGCAGAUAAUCCGUCGAGCAGUCGAAGAGGUCACAGCCGAAGGAAUUGUCUAACGGACGAUCUUUAUUAUCCAAAUAAGCUAGCGGGAUCAGAGGCCCAAUCGCGAAUAGCUUCAUGUUCUCCAUGCCUGCUUUGAUCAGAUCUUCUUCCAGCGCGUCGAAGGUGUUCAAGAGAACACAUGGGUUGGUUUCUUUUUCGAGUGUUAGGAUGUGUUCUUGAAAGGUCGGUACAAUGGGGAAAUUUGGAUCGGUAGGUAAGAGAAAUGAAGGCAAGUCCUCCGGUGUCAAAGGAGGCAAACCAGGCAAUGAGAUUGUAGUAGGAGGCUCAUUUUUACUACUUUGAUAGAAACCACUUCGACUGUUGAAGUAGUGGUGAUAUAUAGCAAAGACGGCAGCCGAUUGAAUAGAAAGAAAAGCGGAAGGAACGCCGAGAUCUCGAGCCACAUCGGCCGCCCACGGGAGCAGGACGGUGUAGAUCAAGAAAGUGACUGGUCGAUCCUUCUCAGAUAAGCUAACGAUCAGUUCUCUUAAGUUUCGGGAACCUACCCGCUUUAUUUCAGAAAUCCUGUCUUCGUAGGAGGAGGGUUCGCCAGCAUCGUCGUCGGUGACGGAGAAGGAGGUGUGCGAUAAGCCUUCCAUCGAAAUAGGGGUCUUGAUGGUCCUUACGUUUCGGCCAUCGACCGCGUUGGCGUAGGUGACCUGCGCGCCGGCCCAUACCAGUCGCUUGGCGAGUUGUAUGGUAGGAUUAAGAUGACCCUGACCACGGAAGGAGAUGAUGAGGAAGUGCUGGUGGUUCAUCUCUCUCUCUCUCUCUCUCUCUCUCUCUCUCUCUGUGGUGAGAUAGAUGUUGCAUUAUGGCAAUGGAAGGUUUUUUUUAUAUAUUUGAAACAUGGGCAUAAUGUCAAACGAACAUAUCCAUUUGGAUGACUUUAGUGAAAUCAGAUCGAACCCGCUACUUUUUUUUUUUUUUAAUAAUAAAUCUACACGUGGGCCAACCAGUGAUUUUCAUGUGAAAGAUUGGACUUCUGUCUCUCUUGUCAUUGAGCAAAAGUGUUUAGAGUCAGAAGUGGUAGCUUAUCCAUGGCACAUUGGCACCCGGGAUGACCUAGCCCAAGCUAGGCCCGUGGCCCACCGUGAUGAUAGUCGAGUAGGUUCCGCCCAGUCCGAUCCAUGGCAGGCCGCCGGCGACGGACUCGUAAUUCUAUGUUUGGAUGCUGGAUGGAGAGUAAGGUGAUGGAUGAGUUUGGCUUUUUAUAAGUUUAGCCGAAAUGUCUAUUAUCGUCUUGCAAGAAAGCGUUUGAUGAAACCAUCUCUCUAAACUUAAUGUUUGUUCACCAGUGUCUACAAUCAACACACUCAUUACGAAGAGACUGCUUGAUACAAAAAGAACAAAAGAGCAUUAGACAUAUUGAACUUAUAUUGAGCUCUCGUUUCCUCAUUUCAAAGUCGACGUCGGCAAAAGAAGAAUUGUAAUGCUUGUUAGUAUCAGGAGCGGGAGCUUGUGGAGCAAGAAUCCAACGGUACCUUGAGUGUUAAAGUCAUUCUUAAGGAUACAAGUCGCAUUUUUAUAAUUUUAUUCGUUGAAAUCUACACAUUGACAGCUAAUUCAUAACUUUAACCAAUCAAUGUUUAAUCAUUAACCAAACUCAUUUGUGAAGUAAUGAGUCUAACAUUUACAAUAUAUAAAUAUUUAAAUUUAUUUAUCCCAACAAGGAUGACUGCACACACCUAAUUCUUGACCAACUGUCGAUUAUUAAGUCACACUCAUUAAAAUUUUGACAGGCUUGCUCUAGAAGAGCUUUCCUACAAGACCCAAUAUGAUCAAAUUGGAUGCUGGAAUUGCAGAAUAUUGUGAUUUUUAAUCACGACUAUCUAAUCUGGAUGGGGUUAGAAAUACACAAUUUUUGCAAAUUGCUUGAUAAGAUGAUGUAAAUUUCAUUGUGAGCUUUCUAACGUUUUAAGAAUCACUUCCAUUGGAGUUUCUCUUCACAAAACUAACAAAGUAGUCAAUUUAUUUAGAAAAUCAUUCUUUACUACACGUGUUCGUGGUUUGAAGUAACAAAGAUGCACAUACAAACUGAGUGAUCGACAGAGAAUUAUUGAUAGUACAUCUCGUAGAAAUUAGUUACUGGGUAUCUCAUUAUUAUUAUUUUCAUUUAUGAAUCUUCAAGUGAAUUUUUUCUUUUUUUUGAUAAAUCAGGGAACCCGCGCACCGUACCAACACGGACAGUCCGACAGGCUCAGGAUAACGGGAGGUAAACCCUGGGGCGAUGCUAGCAGAGGACCCACCACCCUGACGUCGCACUUAAGAUCCCGUGUGCCAGCGGGAUUUGAACUCCUCCCUUUUCACAAAGGUUCAUGGGAGCACUUAUUCAACUGGGUCAUCACAGGUGGUGGUUAUCUUCAAGUGAAUUUUUAACUUGUUAAGGAUCCAUAAUUGUACAUUGCCAAAAUUUAUAAUUAAAAAAAAGGUUGUCCGUAUGACGUGUUAAAGUUGGGAUUCUCCAUCAACCAGGGUAAUAGGGUACAAUCUUAGCGCACUCGACCAAGAAGAACACGGAUGACGUGCCAAUACUUUUUAUCAUUUACCGAAGAAGAAGACAGUUCUCACUUGCCUACUGGUAGGAUUUUGAACGAGUGGCUCAGUCAACCAUCUGCCAUUGACUGGUGGAUGAGCCCUUCGCCCGGCAAAUCUGGGAUUAGUUAAAUCAUUGCAGCAAGUUUUUGGAAGAUUCUUUUGCAUUAACGGAAUCUAAUGAAUUAGCUGCGGCUUUGGCACAUGAAGUUGUUAUAACAUGGGGUAAAUAGGUGAGCUGUAAGUGUGAUUUACAUGAGAAAAAUUAGAAUAGUACAAGUGAAGUAAGGAAAACUAAAUUGCUAAAUUGUCAAAAAUAUUUAUAAUUGAAUCGAUAUCAUUGAAAAAUUUACAUUUAAAUUGAUUAAUCAUUAAAAGGUUUAUAAUUAAAUUUGCGCAAUUGAAAUGUUUAAAAUUGAAUUAAUUGCCCUACAUUUAGUUUGGGAAAUGAUUUUUCCUUAGUUUUUUUGUUUGAUGAUUAUUAGCGUUAGACUCCAUUCUGGACAACUUCUUCAAAGCUUUUCUUUACUGGUGAGAAUUUUGGCAUGACUAUCAACCUGUGCACCACAAUCUUGGUGUCUAAUCUGGGCAUAUCUUCAUUUUGAACAGAAAAAGACAUCUUGAUAUUUUUUGAGGAAUUUGAUCAUAACCUUGUUUGGUGAAGAGCUUCAUCCUGCCCUUGUCACCCUUGAUGGUUUGGCUCGGUCCCUAUAGGUCUUAGUAUGUUGAAUGUUUGGUAAAUAUCUAGUUUGGAACCUCUCAACUUCCUCAAGAAUUUCAGUAGGUGGUCCAUUAGCUCCUUUGUUCUUGUCAACCUCAAUUCUCAUUGCAUAUUCAUAGAUAUAAAAAAAAAAAAAAAAAGUAACUACAUAAAUUGUUAGGUUGGUCUCGAUUAUCAUAAAGAAUUAUUCUAAUUGUCUCUAAUACUAGUCAUACAUCUUUUAUGACCUCCGCAAUUAGAAUAUUUCAACCCUCUCAAUCAUUUGGACCCAAAAAAAUAAAAAAUAAAAAAUAAAAACUCCCAAUUUUGAAUCGUAUGUACACAGAAGGGUAUAUUUCCGCGGCCCACACAACCUAAUGCCAAGCUCUAUGGACCACCAUGCCCGUUUUUUUGUUCCUUGACGGUCGGCCUUUUGUUUACCCCGACGAUCUCCUCACCCUCGCCGGCACCCCCUGUGAUUUGACCUGCUUGUGACCUCCUGCCAAGCGCGCGAGUGAAGGCACGAGUGCUUUAACAUACGCGGUAAACACCAGCCCCCAUUGAAACCACCACCACUUGUUUCCGGUCAAAGUUCGAGACGGAAGAAGAUAUGACCAUUGAGUAUUUCAUAUCUCAUUACCAGUGUGGACUAUUGUAAAGAUUCUAAGACAUGUAGUUCUUCUGCCGCUGAGAAAUGUUUUUACCAUCAGCUGUAGGUCGAACCAUCGAGAUUCAAGACCAAGCAACAAGAUUCAAGACCUAGCAACAUAAGCGUCAUAUAUGACGGGCUGAAAUAGGAGGAAUGGAAAAUAAGAAAAGAAAAAAUGUCACCUAGAAAGGACAAUAAUUUGUCCUGAACAAUAAGCGACGACUGCAUGCCCACAGGAAGGAUUACAUAAAAGCCAUAUAAAAUAUGCAUUCGCUAAAAGUCCCUAAAGAUGAGGACAGGAAAGCACCACGUUAGCUGCUCACAGCGACACCAUAGACGAUUCAUUCGAGCUCAGAUGCUUCUCUGACCUCGUCCACGAAGGCCCUGAGGUUCUUGUCCGAUGACCCGCCUUCCUUCACGGCCUCCCUCGCCAGAUCCCUAAACUUCCGGGCAUUCCUUCUCAUCUCCUCCCCCUCCUUUCCAUCUCCCAUCACCAGCUCCAAGCACCUCCUCAUCUCGCCGCUCUCCACCAGGCCUUGCUCGUUGGGCGUUAUCCUCACCCCGGUCCUCCACACGUCCGCCACGAGCUUCGCGUUCGUUUGCUGAUCGCUCCACUGCGGGAACGCCACCAUGGGUACCCCGCAGACCAAGCUCUCUGACGUGGAGUUCCACCCGCAGUGUGUCACGAAACACGCCACUGAAGGGUGAGAGAGAACCUCCACUUGCGAGCACCACGGCACUAUCAUCCCUAUCUUAUCUAGUUCUUCUUUGAAGCUCAAUCUAUCCUCGUCUCUCUCUUCUUUCCCGCUUUCCCGGAUGACCCACAAGAACGGCCGGCCAGCCUCUACAAGCGCCCGUGCCAUUUCCUCCUUCUGUGGCUUCGAUAGCACGGAGAUGCUCCCAAACGACACGUAGAUCACCGACGCCUUUGGCUUCGUGUCCAGCCACUCCAUGUAGCCGCUCGAGCUCUUGAAGAGAUCGCCUCCGAAGGAAGUGUCUGAUGGAUCUUGGCCGUCCAAAAACGCGGACGGGAUCAGCGGCCCGAUCCCAAUCACCUCGAACUCAUUGAUAGCCCGUAUGGCAUCCGGUUCCAGCGCAUCGAAGGUGUUUGCCAGAAUCCUUGGCUUGGCCUCCUCAAGUAGUAUCUUGAAAUGCCAUUGGAAAAGCGGGAGACUGAAGUUGUACUCAUUUUUAGAAUUAAAAAAGGAGGGUAUGUCGCAGGCCAUGAGAGGCGGCAACCCUGGCAAUUGGAUUGGCACCGAAGGAUUGCCGCCCGUGCUUCGAAUAAGAUCGCCGUAGCCAUGGAAGUAAUAAUAGUAGAAGUCCAAAACAGUGGCCGGUUGAAUCCAAACGAAUGUCGAAGGAAUGCCAUGAGAACGAGCGACCUCGGCAGCCCACGGAAGGAGGAUAGUGUAGAGUACACCUGAGAAUCGCCGACCGCUCUUAAGGUUCGAGGCGAUGAGGUCACUUAAAGUCUCUGUUCCUCGUCGCUUGAUCUUGUCCAUGUAUUCCUCCAUUUCAUCCCAAUUGUCGAAACCGUCGUCGUAGCCAUCAGAGAAGCUGGCGAAGGAUAGCCCCUCGGGGAUAGAUUCCGACUCAGCCAUGCGGGGACGGGCACGAAUGGCAGUGGCGAAGGUCACGUGGGCGCCGACACGCACGAGACGCUUGGCGAAUUGGAGGGAAGGGUUUAUGUGGCCUUGGCCAGGGAAGGUCACGAGGAGGAAGUGUGGAGGUGCCAUGGACGAGGCUUGAAGAAAUUAUUUCGAAAUAGCGAUGACGCUAAGGCAACACUCGACAGGAGGUAUGGGGUAUAUGGAUGCGGGACAUUUAGCGAGUAGAUUGAGGUGGAGACUGUCCGUUAUAAAUAAGGAUGUGUCUGAAAUGAUUACGUCUUGGCUGACGAACGACGAACACCCAGUGCCGCAUGGGCCAAUAUUAAAUUGUUUGAGAAAAGUUGGCGUUCUUGGGACUAGAAGUCCAAGACAGAUGAUCAACUUUCUCUUAAGGUCAGGGCUACUAAAAAAUUUUCUUCCACAACUAUUCUUAUUAACUUUUUAUUUUCCCGAUUUUGCCUUAUCAUUUGACUGUUCAUCUUCUUUUCCAUUGAGAUUAGCUGGCGUGUUGCACAAGACUACAAGGGGCUGAUGAUAGGCUAGAUAAAAUAGCAAAUUACGAAGGCCAGCAUGCAUCCUUCCUUUCUCUAAGUGAUAUUUAAAACAAUAAAAAGCCGUGUACUUACUACUUCAUCGCAUCGCAUGAUGAAUUACGAAGUCAAUCACGAGGGUUUAGAUAUAUUCCAAAGAUGAAUGGCGAUUUAUUCAAACCUCAACAUGGUGAAGGAAAAAGAUAAUUUAUCUUUAGUCUCCACCUGAUUAUGCCACUUAUGAGACAUCUCCGCCAGGCAAAAUAACAAAGCAUACACAUUCAAACACAUCGCCAGAUUGGGUAGGAAAAGAAAAAAGGAAAAAAAAAAAGAAAGAAAGAAAUAUAUAAAAAAAUGAUUUUUUCUUAAAUUUUUAAAAAUAUUCAUGUCAGCACUAGUCAUCCAACAUAGCACAUUGGUAUCUACGUUAGUGAUUUUUUGCUCAAAUUAGCUAGAUGCAAUCAAAUAGCAAAACAUAAAAAAGUUUAGGAUUAAGUUAGUACAAGUGUUGUGAUAUCCUCAAUUUCAAGUUAUGUUUUCAAUUGAAUAAGUUGGGCUUUUCAUUGACGUACCUAUAGUUUUAUUCUCUAAGUUGACCACUCGCGAGAUAACUAGCCUAUCAAGUGAAGCCGUUAAGGAAUCUAAAUGCAAUAGACUUGAGAACUCGACUAGGAAUCGACUGCUUUACCGUGCUAAUUUGCAAGGGUCAUUACAGCACUGUCAAAAUUGAUCAGAGAUCAGAGAUAGAUUGAUUCGAUAGAGGUAUGUGAUUAGUCACCUAAUUGCAAAAUUUAUGUCGAACGGUACUAGACCGAUUUUUCUAAUCAUUUAUGUAUCCUACAUUCGUAUUUGAAACCUCAAGAUUUUUACAACAAUCGAUAGUCGCUAAUGUAUUGAAGAUAUACAAUGUGGCUCGAAAAUAAUCGACCAUGGGUCAAUUACACUAAAAAUUUCUAAAAACUACCUGAUAGGUUAGGUUAUGCUAACAUUGCGCCACAUUGAAAUUAACCGCGAAUUUAAACCCGAUUUCAGGUUAUGUCGUGUCAGGAUUCAUUUUAGGAGCAUCGACUCACCUUCCAAAUAUUUUUCUGCAAACCAAGGUUUUUGGCGAAAAUUCAAAGUAGGGCUGUUUUUGACCGGAAAUUCUGAUGAUCGUUUUUUAUCGCAUUUUUGGGAUUCAAGUUGGAUAAAUUGAUAAGAAAAAAUGUGAAUUUAAGUGUGGGCAUCUUGGUUGAAUUUAUAAGGACCAAAUUGAACUCAAUUGGAGGGGAAUAGAAGGAGAAUUGAACCAAAUUAGAUGGCCAAUGUACAAAAUUCGUUAGGCCAUGGGGGACUCAACAUUUUGGACCACUUGGAGGCUCGUUGAGGAAGCUUUGGCAGCUGCAAAAUGGCUGAGGAAGACAGCCAAGUUGGUAGGGCCAAGCACUUGAGAGCCUAAGAUAUUUUUGGUGGCCCCCUCCAUCUUCAGCAGCCUUCUUCUUCUUCUUCCCUCAGUUGCUUUCUCCAUUUGUGUACUGUUGAGAGCUUGAGGGAAACUAGAAAACCCAACCAACCAAGCCUCUAAGCCGUCCAAGCAAGUCGCGUGCUCGCAUGCUAGCCGCAAGCCCAGCCAUGUGUCCUUGCCGUCCCGCCUCCAGCUUGAGACCUGCUGCUAUCCCGAGCCAUCCUGGCCGCUGUCAAAACCUCUUGUCGUUGUUUCAAUCGCUGUUAGCCUUCGACGUUGCCCGCCUAAGUUGCUGCAGUCAUCGUCAUCCAUCUUGUGUUGUUUCAGCCCUUUCGACUGGUCCCUGCAGCCAAGAGCAGAAGCGAAAGUUCCAACAAGAGCUAAGACUUCUAGGCCCGUUUUAGGUCCCUUCUAGGCCUUCUUUGGUGUUGCCACUAGGAGGUUUGUUGCCCGUCUUUGCGUCACCGUUGCCAUGGACUCACUGGCUCACUAAUCCAGUAAGUUUACUCGCUAAACUCUGCUGAAGGAGUUAAUUAUGCUUAAAGGGUAUUUAGUUUAAGUUAAUUAGGGUUAGAUGGUUAGUUAGAUUAGAUUAGUGAUUUAAUUAUUCCAUUAUGCAUGUUGGGUGGUUAGAUUAGAUUAAUUAGGGACUAGAUAGGAUGUACUAUUUAUCUAGAUAGGUUCAUAAAUUUUCUCGACCGUUAGUAGUAUAGCAUUCGCUAGUAGUGUUUUUGUAUUGAAUUAUUUAAUUAAUUUUGGUAAUUAUUAAUAUUUUUGAAAACUAUACCGAGAUAGCCGGUGAUCAGAAUUUCAUAAUGAUUGCAAUGGUAUGCUUGGUUUAUUUAAUUGAGUGCUAAAUUGUGCAAAUUAAGUAGUGAUUGAAAUUUUGAGUAUUUAAUUCGAAAUUUGGAAGUUUCGGUAAUUAUUUAGAAAUUACUGAGCGUCGGAUUUUGACAUCGAAAAUGGUUUUAAAUACAAUAUCAAAUAGUGGGAUUUGAAAAUGAAGGGUAUCGGUUUUUCUGGUUCAAAUUGACUGUGUACCCACACACGAUUAUUUUAUCAUGUAUUUUUAAUAUGAAGAAAAUAUGCCAAGUUCACCAUUUUAAUUGAGGCAUUUAAGUGAAAUGCACGAUAUCUUGGGUCGAGCUUGAAUGGUCUUGUGUUGGUUAAGAGCACCCGUCUCGAGCUGUUGAGCUAGACGUGCCCCUAUAUGGGAUGCCCUACCAAUGGAUGCCGAUCACAGUAGAUUAUGGACUGAUACUUCUUUAUGGAAUGCUGUUGACGUAGUAACGUUACCGUGCUCGAUGGGGCGAGAUGACGCUUGGCUAUGCUAGAAGACUGCCGAACUUCGAGUAGGUCAUGCUCGUGUGUGGCCGUGAUUAACAAUUGGAACGCAUGCUGAGUGAAAUUGACGCGUCGGAUUAUGGGACAAAAUUGUGUGGCACAAAAUGAGACAUGUCAUAACGAUUUAAUCUUAUAAUCGGGAACCCUUGUGUUGUUGAGAUGAAAGUGUUGGUGGUCCAAUUGUUUAAGCAUGAAUACUAUUUAUGUUUGUAAUAUAAAUUGUGCUGACAUGUAGAAAGGAUCUGAGACGAGGUAAGUUUUUGUGAUUGUGUGGUUGUGUGGUUAGGAUGCCUUUAGGUGUAUUACCCUUCUAAUCGGGAUUUAGAGUGUGAAUUCGUUGAAAUUUAUAUCUCACCCUGUCAUAGGCUCAAUUCUUUUCAACAUCGUAGAGUGGAGGACCCAGAGUCGAGGACUGGAGAGCUUGGAGUUUAAAGUCUUCGUAGUCCCUAUUUGUUCUAGACUUCUGGACAUAGAUCUUUUGUAGUCUUUUGUAUAUGACUCGGUGUGUAUAUAAAAGUGUCACGCCUCGAUCCUCUAAGCACGUGUAGUCGAUUAAAUAGCGACGUCCCAAGAUGCAUCGCCGACCCAUUCAUUUUAUAUGCACACGCGGAAGCAAAUAAAUAAUCCCCAUACAAUAACAUAAUGGGAUAAGAAAGUAGGGCUAUAAUUUUGAAAACCAACAUCACACUUAUAUAUACACAUUGGAGCCUCGUCCUCGUCUCCAUCAUCAUUGACACUCUAAUUGGAGCCUUCAGCAGAAAACACUAGACUUCCGGGAUCUUUAAAAUCCGAGUCUACUACGUCUACGACCAAGCCUUGAGGAGGAUUUGCUGUGCGCUUUCCAAAAGCAAUAUCCAGCACAUACAGAGGUAUCUCAGAUUUUGGUAUGGAACCCUCUCUUUGGCCAUCCUGAGUCUGGUGAUACCAUGAUUUGUAUUGGUAGGGCACCUUGUGGGUGAGACCCGCAUCGACCAAAACUAUGGACCUUACCAAUUCAUAGGUCUAGCCCCUAGGGCUCUCAUGCAACGGAAUGUAAGAUGUGUGACAUCUUGAAUUUCAAGUUCUGAUUUCGAUCGAAAUAGUUGGGCAUUUCAUUGACGCACUUAUAGUUCUUUUCCCUAAACUGAUCGCUUCAUGGGAUUACUAGUUUAUCAGGUGAAGCCGUUAAGGGAUUCUAACGCAUUAGACUUGAGAAUUCGACUAGGAAACGACUGCUCGAUCGUGCAAAUCUGUAAGAGAUCAUAAUGACACAGUAAGAUUGAUUAGAAAUCGAAAAUAGGUCGACUUGAUAAAGGUAUGUGAUUAAGUGUAGGCGAUUCCACCUAAUUGCACACUUUUUGUCGAUUGGCGUUAGACCGAUUCUUCUGUCGUUUUGAUACCCUGUGUCCGUAUUUGAAACAUUGAGAUUUCUACGAUAACCGAGAGUCGCCAAUGUGUCGAAGAUGUAUUUUGUAGCUUGAAAAUAAUCAAUCAUAGGUCAAAUAUACUAAAAUUCCUAAAAGCUAUCCGAUAGAUUAGGACGCGUUAAAUUCGCGCCGAAUUGAAAUUAACUGUGAAAUUGAAAUCGAAUUCAGAAAUUGGAAGUCCUAUUAUGUCACAAAUCAUUUUAGGAAUGUGAAUUCAUCUUCAAAAGAUUUUUCAUGCAAAACGAGUUUUUUCGAAAUAUAAUCAAAGUAUGAUUAAUUUGGUUCGGGAAAAAUUAGUAAGCCCGCUUUUGGUCGUACUUUUGGGCUUCAAGAUAGUUCUCUGGUCAAGUAAAGAUGUUGAUUAAAGUGUGGUGACAUUGGAUUAAUUUUAUGGAUUUCAAUUUAACUCAAUUCGAAGGAAAUUAAAGUAAUGUGAUGUACAAGAUUUGCAAGAUUCGUAUGCCACGGCGGAGGAAGAAAUUUGACCCAUUGAAGAUAGUUAUGGAGGAUUUGAGUUAGUGGAAGAUGACCUCAUGUAAUGUCAUGGUGGUUCGGACCAAAGUGAAGAGGAUUUUGACAAGUAUAGAGUGUUGAUUUGCUUUAAAAAAGGUGGGCUAUCAACAUCAUCUUCCUCCUUGAAUCAAGAGAGUCUUGGAACUUGGAAUGGAGGGAGGGGCAUCAUGCGAACUAGGGAGCUUCGGCUAUGCCUUCGUCCGCCUGACUGACCGUUGCCAGCAUCGCUGGAGCUGUCGUCGUUGUCGUCGUUCGCACGCUCACUUGCCGGCUAGCUCGCCACUCUGCUCGGCCUUCAUCCGCGUGCCAACCAGCCGUCAUCCAAGCCAUCCCAGCAGCUGCUCGCCAUCGCCAGAGUCUCCAUCGCACCUGUACAUCGCCGUCCAGCAUUGCCCAAGCUGCCGUCGCUCGUUUUCGCCGAUCCCGCGCCCAACCGGUGACUGGAGCACCUCCGACCGAGCUUGGACAAUAGCCGGAGUUCCAAGCUAGAUCCGGAUCUUGAAGGUUCGUUUUGGAUGCCUUUCGAUCUUCUUUUGGUGUCGCCCCGAGGAGGUUUUUUGACCGCCUCGCCGUUGUGUUCACCAGGAACUCAUCAGAAAGCAAUUUCGGCGAGUUUAACCUCUUAAACCUUGAUUAGAGGGUUAAUGAUGCUUUAGGGAGGUUUAGUUUAAGUUAAUUGAGAUUAGGUUAUUAGUUUAGUUUGGUUAAGGCUAAAUUGAUGUUUAUGUUAGUAUAAUGAUGUUUUAGCUUUAAUUGAUUAUUUUUGAAUAAAUAAAUAUUUCGAAAUUAUUUAAUUAUUUAAUAAUAAUUUAUAUUAUUUACAAUUAUUAAAAAAUUAUUAUUUAAUUAAUUUCGGAAUAAAUUUAAUUAUUUAAUAAAUCCAAAAAUUAUUUCGAGACCUUAAAUUGUCAUAAUUUCGUGCUGAUUGCAGUGGUACUUUCUGUUUAUUUAUUUGAGUGUCGGUUUAUGAGAAUUGAGUGAAUUAGUGGUUAUGAGAGAAUUAUCCCAAAAUUUGAGAAUGUUGGUAUUUUAUGGGAAAAUGACUAUGAAAGAUUGUGAGUGGACUUAGAAAACCACUGAAGUAUGGUCAUGCCAAUAGGGCCGAGAUUUACCACCGAAUUUGGAAUCAAUUGUGCCCAUCAGGCCAUGAUCUACCACCUAUUAAAGGUCGUGCCGAGUGGGGCCGUGAUGCCACUAAUUCUAAAUUUGCCGAAUGGGGCCGUGAUUCCACUAACUCUAAGAAUUGCCGAGUGGGGCUGUGAUUACAACUAAAUUUAGAUUUGCCUGUAGGGCCGUGUUUAAGGGUCGAGAAUGAAAAGUUAGAAUGAUCGUGUGAUGACUUUGAUGACAUGUAAUUGAUUGAGUCGAUUGAUCGCUAAGUCGAUUCGAGUAAUUGAAUUGUUUGAAUUCUAUUACUGUAUAUGCUUGAGUAAUGUGAACUGUGCUAACUUGCAGGAAGGAACUGAGGCAAAGGUAAGUCUUAUUGUUUGUGAUGGUGUGGCUAGGCCAUACUCGAGUGUAUUUUCUUUCUAAUAGGCGUUUUGGGGGGGGGGGGGGGGGGUGAACUUACUGAGACAAUGUCUCACCUCGUCGUGGGCUCAACAUUUUUAGGUCCUUAGAUGGCGGUCAUGGAGGACUCGAAGCCAUAGACAUUUGUGGAGGUGGAGAUCGAAGAAUAGGCGAAUGUGUUUGACUAGUUGGUUGUAGGACAGUUCCUUUUUUGUUGAGCCGGUCUAUUUUGUAGCCAACCCUGUGUUGUAUAUAAACAUGUGUGUUUAUAAGAAAACCUAUUUGGUUGCGAUUGAUUGCUUGCUUUUCUAUCCCAAGUUAAAUGUUGUCAGGGGAUUUGUUUCGCUUUCGUAUGCAUAAAAUAAAUGAAUGGGUCGGCGACGCGUCCUAAGAAGUCGCAUUUUUUGUAUCAACUUGAGUGGGAUGUUUGCAUGCUCGAGGUUCGGGAUAUGACAAGAUGUCUGUUCUAUAACCUUCUUAGGCUGUCUAAAAAACUCAGGAGGAGUUGCCAUCUAUAGACCUGAAAGGUUAUCCCACAAUGAGGUGAGACGACGUCUCAACGAGUUCAACUUCCUAAGACUUGACUAGGAAGAAAAUAUGCCCUAAAGGCCGCCUAAGCAUAAACAUAGGUCGGAGAACUUACCAUUGCCCCAGUUCCUUCCUACAAGUCAGUAUUUUUCAUAGAUACACGAAUCACAUCAACUAAUCAUACGAAUUCAUCGAAUCAGAUCGAAACAUCGAUCAAUCGACUCAGUCGAUUACAUGUCAUCACAACAUUCUCUCGGUCGGCCAAAUCAAUACUAUCUAUGAAGUCUGAUCAUAAUUAGGACUGCUCUCUCUAAGCUGAUAAAUAGAUAGUAUAAUUUGCGCUAAGCUGAUAACUAAUAUACUGCUCUUUAUCUAAGCUGACAUAUCAAGGCCCUCAGGCUGAUAUAAUAUACUAACGUUGUUCACUCUAAGCUGAUAGAUAACAUUGCUCAUUCUAAGUUGAUAAGUAGCAUUGCUCACUCUAAGUUGAUAAAUAACAUUACUCACUCUAAGUUGAUAAAUAAUAUUGCUCACUCUAAGUUGAUAUGGUAUACUACUCUCGAUCUAAGCUGAUAUAUCAGAGCCCGUGGGUUGAAAUAGUAUACCACCUUGACCAUCUAUUCAAUUUACCAUUUUAAUCAUACCCGAUAAAAAUACUCGUGUGUGGGUACACGGUCGACUUUAACCAAAAUACAAUAUUUUUACUUUUGAACAUUCCGCCAAUCGGCAGUCCCAAAAUAGAUUUUUGGCGCUAUAGACUAACGUUCGGUAAUUUUCCAAUUAAUUACCAAAAUUAUCAAUUUUUAAGAUAAAUACCUGCAAUCACCAAUCACAUUUAAUUUACACAAAAUAACAAUCAAUAAAAUAAAUAGAUCACACCACUGUAAUUAGCAUGAAAUUCCGGUCACCGACUAUCCCGGUCUAAUUUCCAAAAAAUAAUUAAUUAAUUAAAUAAUUACGAAAAAUGAUUAUUAAAUGCCAAAAAUAACAACUUAGGCCAGAAAAGCCGAGACGGGCUUGGAAAGUUUUCGAAACUGCUCUAGAUAAAUACUAGAGCUUGUCUAGGCUCUAAUUACACUAUUUUAACCACCUAAAAUGCAAUAACAAUUCAUUAAAUUGCUAAUCUAGUCUAAUUAUUCACUUAAUCCAUACUUAGUCUAAACUAAUCAACCCUUAAACGUCAUUAAAUUACUAAGCAAGGAUUAGUGAGUUAAACUCACUUGUUAAGUGAUCUGCUCGGAUCAAAACGAUGAGGACACAGCAAGGGGCGAGAAACACCAAAGUGGGACCGCAUUUUGAGGUCCAGAAAGGCUUGAACUCAGGCCCGACAGCAACUUGGAGACCCACUAGACUCUGCUUCUAUUCUUGGCCGAAGAGGGGUUGCUUCGGUGGUUGAACUGCGAAACAAGAGCGGCGGAGGUAGUAGGGGUGCUCGGUGGGGCUUCACGGUGGUAGGCAGGUGACCUAGUAGCUUCGGCAACAAUGGAGCAAGUUUGAACAGCUCUAGAGGUGGCAUGGGCUCAUGGCUAAGGUGGAAUGAUGGCAUGGAAUGACAAAGAUGCAUGCGGGCAGGGCGAACGCGCGACGGCCAACGACGGCGACUUAGCGAGUUGACGGAGGAUGGACAGGCGUGCAAUGGCCUCGGCGGCUUGCUGGCUCUGCUUUCUAGUUUCUGGGCUUCAAACAGCAGCUGAGAUGGAGUGCUCGAUGGGUGAGAGGAGAGAGAGGAAGGAGGGAACCGGUUUUGGCAUGGAUGGGCCACUAAUGACCUCAUCUCAUCUCUUUGUACCCCCUCCUUUGGUCCCCACCACCAGCUGGCCUCCACAGCUGUAUUUCCAAACCAAAAUGCCCACUUCUAGAAGCUUGAGUUGGUCCAAAGGUUGGGUCCAUGGGGGCACACGUAUUUCACUUGAUUUCUCUCCAAUUGGACUUUAAUUCCCUUUUGAAUCAAAUCAAUUUGGCCUCUAAAAAUUCAACCAACAAGCUCACAAUCAAAUUGGUAUUUUUUCUCGCCAAUUGAUCCCACUUGCAUUCCAAUUUCACGAUAAAAAACGGUCAUCUACACUUUCUAAUCGAAAAUGGCCUUAUGACGACUUUUUUCACCAAAAUCUCAGCUUACAGAAAAAUCUUUAGAGACUAAGUCAACAUUCCUAAAAUGACUUGUUAUAUGACAAAACUUUCAAUUUUUGAAAUCGGAUUUAAAUUUAUGGUUAAUUUCAAUCUGGCACAUUUUUAGCGUAACUUAGGCUACCGGGUAGCUUUUAGAAUUUUUUUAGUGCAAAUGACCCGUGAUCUAUUUUUUUUUUCGAACCACAAUGAACCUAUUUGACACAUUAGCGACUCUCGGUUGUCGUAAAAAUCUCGAUGUUUCAAAUACGAACACAUGGUACCAAAGCAACAGAAAAAUUAGUUUAGUGCCAAUCAAUGAGGAUUUUGCAAUUUAGUGGAAUCACCCACGUUUAACCACACAUCUCAAUCGAAUCGACCUAUCCUUGAUCUCUAAGUGAUUUUUAACUGUGCCGUAAUGAUCUGUGUAGAUGAGCACGGUUGAAUAGUUGAUUCUUGAUCGAAUCCUCAAGUCUAUUUCAUUAAAAUCUCUUAAUGACUUCCCCAGAUUGUCCAGUUAUCUCAAAAGUGAUCAGCUUUAAGAAUAGCACUAUAGGCGCGUCGAUGAAAAGCCUAAAUUGAAAACAAAGUGAAAUUUCAGGAUGUCACAAAAAGAGUGUUUGUUUGUGAAUCUGUUUUUCUUGCUUUUCUAUCCCAAGCUGUUUACUGUUAGGGGAUUUAAUUAUUCGCUUCCACAUGUGUAUUAAAAUGAAUGAGUCGGCAACGCGUCUUGGAAAGUUGCAAAAUUUUAUCGACCACUGAGGAAUGGGCAUGUGCUCGAGGUUCGGGGUGUAACAAGUGUAAUAGGUUUAUAACUUUUUGGGUAAUUUUCCACAACAAUAUAUCUACUGUACAAACAUUUGGUCGUUUGGUUUAGUUUUGGGGAUAGUGUAUGGGAAAAUGUAAAGGUUUUUAGGCUAAAAGGGUUUUUCGAAAUGCAAGUGGUGCUUGGUAAAGUGUAUUUUAAAAAAUACAUUGGAAAACAAAUUUUGACGUAAGUGUCGUUUGGUAAAACUACACUUUGUAAAAGAUUUUGGGCAAUUUUUUUUUUUUAAAUAAAAAACUUCAAACUAUUUGCUAGUAGAACUCAACUAACCUUGGUGAACUAAAUCAGCCACUGGUCAUUUGUCGGCCACAAACCGGCCACUCGCCAGUUGUUUAUUGAUGGCCAGGCAAUGUUAGAGACUUUGAACACAUUUCUAGAAUUAUGAAAUCGAGUAAGUUAAAGUUGGAAGAAAUUUAUAUUCCAAAAAUACAACAUUUCAAAUAAUCUCUGAACCUGCCUAUGCCUUUAGAUAGCUUUGGAGAUGCAAUUGCAUAUCCCCAAAGCAGCCUAAAUUGUUUUUGCCAAAUGGCAUUUACAUUUGCCGAAGGGACUUUGGGGUGUCAAAGAUUGAAAAUUUUGAACCAAAUGUACCCAUUGAAAUACUCUCAAAUUCACUAUUCUCGAACUCCUAGUACUAAUUUCUCUUCUAUCUAUCUGUAGCUACUAUGGUGAGAUAGUAAUCUAGAAGUCCAUAGACGAUGUCCUCUUUCUCUCCGUGACCUACCUAGCUCAUAACCAUAAUAGGGUCAUUGACUUCAAGCGGCUUCUACUUCCAACUCACUAUGAGAACGUGGUAGACUAUGGCUGCACAUGACAAAAUUUCUGAAACAUAAAUUGAUUUCUAGCUAGAAAUCAAUUUCUUAAUUUCUAUUCCCCGGACAAGUUUCUGAGCAAAGAAACCCGUUUGAUAACAACUCAAAAUUUCUAUUUCUGAAACAGAAAUCCGUUUGAUAACAGAAUAAAAUUUAUAUUUCUAGGAAUAGAAAUUAAUUAGAUAACAACAUAGGAAAUCCUCAAAUACAAAAUAAUAGUCGAAAUAAUACUAAAACAACAUAGGAAAUCCUCAAAUACAAAAUAAUAGUCGAAAUAAUACUAAUACAUUACAAAAGUUGAAAAUACAAUUUCAUGAAAUUUCUGGCAUAUUAUUAUCCCUUGUCAUUUUAUUAGCAAUUGUUUUCCUAAGCGUAUUUAUUUGGUUUCCCUCCUCGGUUAAUGUAUCGUUUGCAAGCUCAUCCUACGUAGGUUCAGAUAAGUACUACGGAAGCAUGAAUAUGAGUGCCAUCAAUGGCGCCUAUACAGCUUUGUCAUUUUAUCAAAAACUAAUAUUAUACAAUAUUAUCAACAAAAUAAAAUUAAUGGUGUAAAGGAAUAUAUGAGAAUUCUACCUUAAAGUAACAUUUAUGGUUAGGAACCAAUCGGGGGAAGGUCGGUUUAUUUUGAUUCUUGAAUUGAAUCAGUCCAGUUGCUCAUUCCUAAUUUCUUUAUUGUUGCUCAAUGAACCUUUAAUGGCUCUUGCAUAGAAAAGAGAGAGAUUCUCUUGAAUCUCUUGCCUUCGAAUUAAAAUUCAAGAUUGUCUAACAAUCUAAUUAUUUUGAUUUUGCAAGAAUUUUGAAUUCGUCAAAAAAAAAAAAAAGGUUAAAUUUAUAGGCACGUUUUUAUUCAUCUAUUAUGUAAGAAAUUUUUCUUCAACUGGCCAUAUGCGUGCUUUUUCUAGAAGGAAAGAGCCCCAUUGUUUUUUCUUGUUUUUUUUUUUUUUUGGUAAAAAGAAAAUAGCCCCAUUGUUUUUAAGUAAGCAUUAAGAACUUUGGUCAUUUUUUAAAAUUGGGGACUCAUUCGAUUACCUUUCAUCCUAAAAAGGAAGUUAUCAAAAAAAUUGAAAAAAGAAAAAGAAAAAAAAACACAAGCAAAAUAAGAAAAAGAAAAUUAGCAAUAAUUUGUGUAGUUGUGGUUAUGAGUGAAUUAAGUUAGUAAGAAAGCGCAAGGUUCUUUUAUAUGGUUUGAUUUCAGUUUCUGAUUUCUAUUUCAGAAAUUGAGAAGUUAAAAAUUUCAGCUUCUGAUUUCUUCAAUUUCUCUAUCUCUGGAAUAGAAAUCUGUUUCAGAAAUAGAGAAAUCAAAUUGCGUUACCAAACGGAUUUCUGUUUCAAACAUGUUCCGGGGAAUAAAGAAACAGAGAAAUCGAGAAACAGAAAUUUUGUCAUGCGCGCCCUAUACUGUUGUAUCAAAAAAUAUUUCCAUGUCAGUGUAUGUCCCAUUAUUAUUAUUAUUAUUAUUAUUAUUAUUAUUAUUAUUAUUAUUAUUAUUAUUAUUAUUAUUAUUAUUAUUUCAACACUCAAGUUAGGAACGUGCUAGUACGCAGAAAUGAAAAAUAUAAUCAACGUGCAGUAUCUAUUAUAUUCAAAUAUAUAAUAUAUAAUUGCUUGAUAUUCCAAGUUCAAUCAAAAUUAAUGAUAAUACGAAUAGGUAGUGCUGCUAAUUAAUCCUUCAAAUAACAUCAGGUUCUACAAACCCACCAGAGUUAGCGUAAUUGAUUGUCGCAUAAGGGCGAUUUCCAGAUCAGAAAUUAGAAGUGAUGUAUUUAAAUUACAAUUACUGCGUGCAAAUAGCUUUAGGUUGAGAUCACCUCCACAGAUCAAAGAUUUGGACUUAAUUGGGUUCAUAGGCUUACAAGGUUUCCUCGAAUCUCCAGGUUUUUGGCUCUCUUCAUGAUCCUGGAUUAUUAGAAAAAUAAUGGGCUACAUCUAUCUAAGUGAGGAAGACACAUAUAGCCUGGUAAGUAUUGCAUGUACCAAUUGGUAUAUGAUACAUAUAACUAGCGGAUGGGGGAAAUGAUACAUUUGUUAUCAUAAUGUUAUCUCCGUACUUUAAAAUGUGGUUUGAUAUGGUCUAUUCAUUAGAAUGAUUAGGGAAAUCUCCUGACAUGGACGAAACAUUCCAUUCAGUUUACGAUUUAUCAUAGUUUUUGUUCAAUUUUGUUCCCAUACUUUUUUUAUUUGUUCAAUUUAGUCCACAAGUUAUUUUUUAUUCUCUCUAUAUUGCAAAAUGUCAAAUUUAGAUUUUACCCCAACACAAACAGUUUAUUAAUUACUUCAAAUUUAAAUAUAAUCCCAACACAAAAAAAAAUUAUUAAUUAUGUCAUGACACUAAAUCCCAAAUACAACACAUACAUUUAAUUGAUUAUCCAAUUCAAAGCAUUUAAAAUAUGAUAGAUAAAGAUGCUUGUGUUUACAAGUUGCAAGUAUAUCUAAAUGAGCCAUGCUUUUUUCACUCCUUUGAUUUAGACACUCCAUUUUUUGUGUUUUGACCAUAUUUUCCCUUAUGUGGUCCACUAUUUUUGUCACAACUUUAAAAAUAUGAUCCUUUUUUUUUUAUCAACUUUUUAUUUAUUUAUUUAUUUUGUUUCUUCUUUUUUCCUUACAAGUCUCACUUUCCUCUUUCUUUCUUUCCAUGCCUUCGAUGAUGUCUCAGUUCUCGGCUCUUGUCAAUCAUCUCUCUUUUUUUUUUUUUUUUUUUCUUGCAGGUCACUCUCUUCUUUCUACAUUUUACUAAUCCUCAAGUUGUAACACAUUGAGAAUGAUGCCAAUCCCGUUGUUCUCUACACUUUUGCUGGCACCGACAUUGGGGCCACUGUUCACCUCCCCAGUGAGAAUUUUCUCUAAUGCUUCCAUAAAAUCAUGUAUGAUAUGAUCAUGAAGCAAAAAAUAUAAUUCGCUCUAUAAACUUGAAGGGAGUUUUGUAGUUUGUUACCAUUAAAUAUUUUUACAGUUGAUUGCCUAGUUCAUAUUAGAAUUGAAAAUCAUAUGUCUAUAGGGUUUUUGUUGUUUUCUCUACUGCUCCUUUUAUAGCUAUUAAGAGUCGAAUUCAUGGUUGUUGGCAGUUUUAUUUAAUAUCUAUGGGAAGGCUCCAACGAACUGAUUCAAUUUGUCCUAAUAGAGCAUGUUCUCGAGAGCUUUUGUCUCUCAUAUUCCUUGAUUUUCCUGUGUCUCAUUUGUCUAGAUAGUAACCAUGGUUUGGAUCGCAUUCCAUCUUCAAAAAUCUAAAGAUGCUUGUAGCUAAAAUCUGAAGACUGGUUUUUCUAUUGGUCUUAUUGUCAUAGUUGACAACAAGAUGUUACCAUAAUUGACCCAAAUAUGAAAACCAAAAGUCAGAACUUUGCUCGGAGUGAGAUCCACUAGGAUCCUCUGUUCUCAUGAUGAAAGAAGAUAAUGGCCUACUAGAGAGAAAAUGGAGAGAGGAUUUGCAAGAGUCGAGAACUGAGAUGUUAAAUGUGUGGAAAUAAAGAAGAAGAAGGAAAGUGGGCCCACAAGAAAAAAGAAGUAACGAAAUAAAAAAAAGUUGAUCAAACAAAAAAGGGACCACUUUUGUAGAGCUAUAACAGAAGUGAUAGGAUAUACAAGGAUAAUCCGAUCAAAACACACAAAAUAAGGGAUUGUCUAACUUAAAGGAGGAGUGGCAAAAGCACCGCUCUUUCUAAACGUAUCUAAACGUGUCGUGUUACACACAAGGAACAUUAUUGAACAAGUCCUAAUGUGUCAUAAACGGUAAAAGGAUCCAUUUAUAGUAAAAAUAUUUAUUCUUCAUCAGGAUUAACCUUAUGUGAACACAUUAAUGUGUGUCAAAAAGUUGUUUUCAAAAUUACGAUUCCUAAAUAAGGGUCAUUAAGGUUUUUUUUUUUAAAGAAUAUUUGAUGACCCUCACUAUGUUCAAAUUGAGGCUAUUAUUAAAGAGAACAACUAGUUUAAGGACGGAAUUUAAAGGACAUAUGAAGUUAAAGGAUGGAAUUGAACAAAAAGUAGACAAGUUCAUAGCUCUAAUGACCAUCUUAGCAAGUUUCAUUAAAUCUUUAAGGAAAGGAGCACAUUGAACAAAAAUUGGAAAGUUCAGAAAUAAUAUUGAAUGAAAAAACUUCAGACAUUGAAUAAUUUAGCAAACCUGAAGGACUAAUGUUACCCUUAGUGGAUUAUAGAUAUGUUAUGUCUUUCAUAUUGAAAUUUUCAAAUGAUGUUAUAGAGGCCAACCGCAUCAAACUGACGAUAUACAUGUUAAAUGAAAGCUAUUAGCAACUCAUAGUUUUUAUUUUUGUUUCAUAAUAUUCACAAGGAAAUUAGAGCUGCGCAAUUGCCGAAUGCCGAAAUCUGAGUCAUAUUAUAGCCCAGAGAAUGGGACUCUAGUAUAAUUUGAUGAGUUGUGCUUGCAUAACGUUGCAAAUUGAACCCUCUAUUGCGUUCCAUUCACAAUGGGCAACCGAAUCACUAAAAAUUCAUUGAUUCAGCAUGUGUAUAAUUUUUAAAGAAACAAAUCCACUGACAUUACUCGAUAAAAAUAAAUCCAUGAAGUAAUCGACCAUAGAUUUUAGGGGUGGAACAUUGACCAAAAUUAAAUAAAUUAUACUUACGAAUUUAUAAAUAAUGUAGAUACACUGUUCAAUUUUUUUUCAAAGAUUUUUCACCGUACGGUCGGUUAUGGACUUGAGUUUCCACGGCAUCACUUUGUCACUUCGUUACGGUCGUCGCUCUAGACAGCAAGCUUUCAACCGCAUAAUUAUUGCAUCCAGCCGUCGUUUCGCACCCCAUUAAAGAGAUUGUCGCCAGAGAAUCUCCACCUCUUUAUUUUCGAUGGUGAAAUGAUGCCCCCCACGGCCGUUGUCACUACAUACGUGCCACAAUUUUCGGGCUUCGAUGCCAACUAACGCAUGGAAAAAAUAAAGGCAUGUGUGAACUCAUAGACGAAACUCGCAAAACGUACAUGCACCGGUAGAUAAAGGGAGCUGUCAGGCUUUCGAUAAAUUCAAUGAUAAUCUGAAAAAGAUCACAUCAUGUAAUAAAGAUUCUGAAAUUUCUCCAAUAAUAGAUGAAAAAUAAAUUGUGGUAGUCGCCGCUCCACAUGUCCAAUUUUGUUCAUGAGUACUAGCAAUUGGGCUCUUAUGUUUUUGUAUUGUGCAUGAAAUUGACAUUUAGUUUAUCAUGAAAUAUUUGGAUCAAUAAAUAAUUCAAAGAAACUAGUGAUAAGAAUAGACUGCACUAAUAUGUGGAAAGGUAAAAACAUUUUAAGAUGUGACAUCUUUUAAGGAAAGUUAUGCAAGAUAGAAUAUAUCCAAAUUUUAACAUUGAAAUACAUAGAAAAAUAAUAAUAUAUACUUACGUAUUUGUCCAGGUAUAAAAAUAUUUGUAAACAAAAUAAUUAAGAUAUUUGGAAAAGAGAAAAAUGAUUGAAAUCUCUUAAAAAAGGAGAUCCUCCUUACUUUAUAUAAAAGUAUAGAUGGAUAUAUUAUUUUGAGUCCCACUGGCCUAAAAACAAUAUUAUGCUGAGUUUAUGACGAAGCUCUUGUGAUCACAGAUCUUACACUAUGGUAGAUGGACAAAAUGGAUUGUGAAAAGGCUCGUGGGAUGACGGGUGUAUCUGAUGUUAAUCUGAUUUUUAUUGUUUCCUUUUUUUUUUCUUUUUUCUUUUUUAUCAAAACGAAUAGUAGGAUUUUGCUAGAUAACUCCAUCCCACCCAAACGGGUUUUUAAUACCGCAAGCAGAAAACCAGACAAAUUUACUAUAUGGCCUCAAUCAUAAAUUGUACGGUGGAAAGAAUAGUUCAUACUGAAUUUUUGUCACAAGAUUAAUAAAUCUGAGUCUGAUUAUAGCUUCGUUCUGGACUUGGUUUCAGUUUGGAUUGUGUCAGAGUGGGCAAGACUUAUAGAACAAAUAGACUUUGACAAGAGUCUAUGAUAUGACUUCAGAAGUCUUCUAUUAUUCAGAAUAAGAACAAGAACAAUAAAGUUUUGUCAACUUUAAAACCUGGUAGGAGUUUUAUCAACAAUCUCCAUCUUUUUUAUGGUGAGAAAGCUUUCAUGUAUAUUUAAGCAUAAUAUAAAAGUUAUCCUACAAAACAAAACUUUAGCAGCACAUGAUAAUUGAUAAAGAUAAUAGAUAGUAAGCACAAUAAAGUCUGCAUAAAUCUGCACAAAAUACACAUAGUCUGUACUCACAAGAAACACACCAACCAAUAGUCUGCAUAAAAUACACAUAUUGGAAUGUGUCUCUAAGCCCCCGUAUAUUUACACUAUGAUAACCAGGCUAUCUUCCACAUUGCUGCCAAUCUAGAUUUUCACGAGCAAAUAAAAUACAUUGAAAUUGAUUGUCAUCUCGUUCGUUAAAAAAUUCAAGCCAUGCUCAUUUUUCCAUUGAAGAUUGGUACGGACUCACAACUAGCUAACAGUUUACCAAACCACUAGGCCAAGAUCAGUACAUGUGGCUAACUACUUUCCAAGUUCGGUGUCCAUAUCUCACAUGCAGUAACUUUAGGGGGAGGCUUGGCGUGAUCAUAUGCCACCAGGGCAUACUUAUUUUAUGAGUAGUUUUAUAUAGGAAUAGAUUUAGGAAAUAUAGUUGUGAAUGGUGUAUAAAUAUGUACAUUUAAAAUACAAGAAAUAUUGAAUCGAUUUACAUUGGCAUCUUGCAUUUUGUAUCCUUUCUCAUGAUACCACCCCCAUCACUUGCUGCCAAUUUCAGUUCAGUCAGGAAAACUAACAGGUUGAGAGUGAAUGGCUUCCACAUAUUUCCCCAUGUUGUCCCGACGGAUUAAUGCGGAACCUAUGGAGGAAGCCAAGAUGUCAUACAUUUUGGACCGUUUGAUUUUGUGGUCCAUAUCUUCGCCGUCAAACAUUGAUGUCACUGACACCAAUCGUAUCAGCUUCUAUUCAACUUCAAAAAAUGCGUAAAUCUCCUCUUCCGAAAUCAAAUCCAUCAUUUUCUUCUCCUUCGAAGCCUCUUCUACUGCGAUAGAACGGUUGGCUCGAGCACUCAGCCAACAUUGUUGUUCCCACACCUGACCUUCAUCUUAGGCGCACUAAUCGCCUUCUGCCUCUUGGUGUAGAUUCACUAUGCCACCCAGGACUUCCAUCCCGAAGAUCCCCACGACCUCCAGCGCUGCGGGGGGUGAGGGCAAGAUCCUGAAUGACCUCCAGGGGAAAUACCAAAUUCUAGGCAACUCUACCUAGACUGUCCUGACUGCGGGGGGUUGACUUGCACUAUCUAAGCCGGCUACAAAGGCGUCUACGUAGAGCAUCUUAAGAUUUGCCUCUCAUUUAUAAAGAUAAUAGAGAGGAAAAGUGAAAAAAGAGAAUUUGAGAUUCAAGGUUUUAUUCUAGUUUAUCCUUAAACUAAAGCUACUUUAGCUGAGCAAUCCACUAUAUAUAUAUCCAGUUAUUAUUCAUGAGCCUAAAUUCAAGUUAUGAAUAAAAAAAUGAAUUCAAACUAUAAAAGUCCACUGACGUCGCGAGAGCACUGCCCCCUUACGAUUCUCUUGCCAUUCUGUCAACAAGGAGUAAGGACCAUACCCCAAUAGCUGCCGGAAUUGAGUUUCUAUACCUUUCACAUCUAGGUGACAUGUUCUGUGCUAGUUAAUCUUUUGCCGGGUCAACUUACCCCUAAUGCCAUUUGAUUCAUAAUAGGCUUCAUUCUUGUCUUCCACCAGGCCAACAAAGUGUACUCCAUGGCGGUCUUUAUGAACAUCUGUAGACUGACUCAGGUGGCCGGUGAAAGAGGCCGAUGGCAGUUCUCUCCUUGGCACCACAGGGCCCCUUUCAUCUCUAAGUAUUCUUCCUCCGAUUUCGAGGAAGAAAUGGCUACACUUGGAAUCUCCUUGGGCAAUGGGGGUCUCGGUGGAGUUCUUUGUCUUCAAUGAGCACAUCCCCGUGUUAAAACAUUAACUUGCAUCCCUGCCGCUUUCAGAUUCGUAUAAACCUAGGUCCUCUCGUCUCCCUCAACAACCUCCUCCAUAAACCCCAACCCACCUUGAAACCACGACCUGUUGUAACACAUCGAAGUUCAAGACAGAAGAAGAACAGAGAAUUUUCCAGUGCUUCUGCAAUGGAUACGUUUUUAGCAUCUAUGUGGAAACGGUAAGUCCCACCAUCAAGAUUCAAGACUAAGCGACUCAAGCGUCGGAUAUGAUUAGCUGAAAUAGAGAGAGUAUGGUGCGACAUUUUUAACAUGCUGAGAUUCUCACCAACUCUCCAGUCCACCAAACAAAAUAGGGAAAAAGAUCGCGAAACCUAUAAAUAAAAAAAUUGUCCAAAAACAACGAGCUUCAACGUAAUGCCCAAACGAAGGUUAUAUUAAAGACAUAUGACCAAAGUAUUCUCUAUAAAUUUCAAAGAAAACAACAAGCAAGCACUGCAUUUAGCUGCUGACACCAUAGAUGAUUCACAGACAAGCCUCUCUGACCUCGUCCACGAAGGCCCUGAGGUUCAUGUCCGUAGAAUCCGCCUUCCUUCACAGCCUCCCUUGCCAAAUCUCUUAAUUUCUGGGCAUUCCUUCUCCCCUCAUCUCCCUCCUCUCCAUCUCCCAUCACCGACUCCAAGCACCUACUUUUCUCGCCGCCUUCCACCAGGCUGCCUUAGCUCGUUUGGUGUCACCUUCACUCCGGUCCUCCAUACGUCUGCAACAAGCUUCGCAUUUAUCUGCUGAUCGCUCCACUGCGGAAAUGUCAAUAAUGGCAACCCAAAGACCAAGCUUUCCUAGGUCGAUUAAAUUCCAACACAUUUUGUGUUUGUACGGUCCUGUUAAAAUCGAAGCCAUUGGUUCCUUUCAUUUAUGAUAUUUUCUAUUCAGAAUUUAUACAAAAAUCCGGUUUCCUUAAAUUAAAUAAUCCAAAAAACAACUCUUGGUGAAAGAUAUUUUGUUAUGAGAAAAAAUUUCAAUGGAACAUUCACAAUUUUUUAAAUCAAAAUGGAGCUGCACAAUCGCUAAACUUACGACAUUUGAGUUAUGUUACAACUUACAACCUAGAGAAGGGGACUUUGUAGUAUGAUUUGCUCCUCUCUCGUUUCUCAUCUUAAAAAAUAUGCCGCCUGUACCUACUUCUUUAUGCUUAGAACCUACGCAAUUUAUCACCACUAACUCCCAGGGUCCUUCCUCCCCAGCCCCUCAAUCACAAGCACACGGGAACUCCUCCCAUGCCAUCGUUUACCGUCCGUCGUCGAUCCUGCUGCUACCAUCAUCUCUGCUUUCUAUCUCUCCCUUGCUCUUGAAAAGAAAUUAUAUAGAAUAUUCACAUGAUCAAUGGUUACGAUAGUGUUAAUAUUAACCAAUCAAUUUUUAAUCAUCAAGCAAACUCAUUUCUGAAGUAAUGAGUCUAACAUUGACAAAUGAAGAAUAAUACUAUAUAUAAAUAUUUAAAUUUAUUUGUCUCAACGAGGAUGAUUACACACACCUAAUUUUUUACCAACUUUUGAUUAUGAGUCACCGUAGUCAAGAUUUCGACUGACUUGCUCUGGAAAAGCUUUCCUACAACACCCCAUUUGAUUAAAUCGGAUGGUGAGAUCACUGAAUAUUGCAAUUUUUAAUUGCGACUGUCCGAUCUAGAUGGGGUUGGAAAUACAUCAUUUCUGCAAAUCGCUUAAUGAGAUCAUGUUAAUAUGGUCGUGAGCUUUCCAAUGCCUUGAGAAUCAAUCGAUUAGGGUUUCUUGAGGUAGAUAUCAUGCUUUUUCCAUUUCAAUCAUCGAAAUAGAUGUUAUAUAUAUUUGUGGAUGCGUUGGGUCAUAUGAAUAUUCGCGAAGAGUAGUAGGUAUCUGAUAAGCAAUCCACACUUACCAAGAAAAGGUCGAUCUAUUUAUAAAAUUAUCUUUUACUUCAUAUGACAAUGGUUUAGAGUAAUUGAUACAUACAAACUGAGUGACUGGCAGAAAAUAAUUGAUAGUCCAUCUCAAAGAGUUUCUAUGAAACUAGUUACUAGGAGCGCACAUGACAACAUUUUUAUUUUUCGAUUUCUUUGUUUUUUUGUUCCCUGGAACAAGUUUGGAACAGAAAUCCGUUUGGUAACACAAUUUAAUUUUUUUAUUUCUAAAACAAAAUUUUAUUUUAGAAAUAGAUUUGUAGUAGAAAUCAAAAGUUAAAAUUUUUAGUUUUUCUAUUUCUGGAACAAAAAUGAGAAAUCAAAAUUUUUUUCAUCGUUCACUCUCGUCACCACCCAUCGCCCACUAGCCGUCCGUGGGACGCUGAACGCCCACCACUCGCCGUCGCUCGCUGACCGCUGCCCACCGGACUUCGGCCGCCCGUCAUCGACCAUCCGCCAUCGGAUGCCCAUCGGUCGUUGGUUGCUCAUCACCAACCAUUGGACGCCGCAGGCCAACCGCCAACCACCAGACAUUGCCACCCGCCGUGUGUCACUUGCCACCGGUUGUUGGAUGUCGGCCGCCCGCCGCCGCUUGUUGGACUUUGGCCAUUGGCCACUGGCUGCCGGCUAUCAGACUCUGGACAUCGAACGCAGGACUUCGAAUGUUGGAUGCCGGUCGCCGGCUAGUCGAAUGCCAGACGCUGAACUCCGAACGUCGAAUACUGGAUGCCGGUCACCAACCACCAGACGCAAAAUAUCGGACUUCGAACGUUGGACGUUGGAUUUCGGCCACUCGCCAUUGAUUGCCAAACAUCGAACUCAAACCAUUGGACGCCGAUUGUUGCUGCUCCUAGAAAUAGAAAUUUAAUUCUUUUACCAAACGAAUUUUUAUUUUAGAAAUAGAAAUUUUGCAUCAUUAUCAAAUGCGUUUCUUUGCUUAGAAACUUGUCCAUGAAAUAGAAAUUAAGAAAUCAAUUUCUAUUUCAUAAAUUUUGUCAUGCACUAGUCAUCCCAAUAAUUGAUAAGAUCAUGCAAAUUUGAUAGUGAGCUUUGUAACGUUUUGAGAAUCACUUCCAUCAGAGUUUCUCUUCGCUAAACCAAAAAAGCAAUCAAUCUAUUUAGAAAAUUAUUAUUUACUAAAUAUAUCCGGGGUUCAGUAUAAUAAAGAUGCAUGUACAAACUAAAUGAUCGACAGACAAUUAUUGAUAGUCCAUCUCAAAGAGUUUAUGCAAAAACUAGUUAUUGGGUAUCUCAUUAUUAUUAUUCUCGUUCCCGAUUCUUUAAGUGAAUUUAUAAUUUGUUAAGGAUACAUCAUUGUACAUUGCCAGGAUAAGUGGGGACUUGUCCUACCACAGAUGGGAAAAUUAUCAAGAAAAAGUUGCCCGUAUGACGAGUUAAGUUGGGUGUCUCCAUCAACCAGAUGCAACCAAGAAGAACACGGAUGACGUGCCAAUUUUUUUAAUCUUUUACUUGAGAAGAAGACUAAUCUCUCUCACAUACCUACUGGUAGGAUUUUGAACAAAUGGCUCAAUCCACCAUCUGCCAUUGACUGGAGGAUGAGCUCUUCGCCCAGCAAAGACGGUCGGAGCCGGGAAUUACACAAGGCGGGGUGAGAUUCAAAAGGAAAAUUAACUUUUCAUGACGAGAUUACCCAUUAAGUUUCUGGGAUUAGUUAAAUCAUUGCAGCAAGUUUCGGAGGAUUUUUUGCAUUUAUGGAAUCUAAUGAAAUAGCUCCGGCAUUUGCACAUGUAGUUAUGAUAACAUACGGUGAAUUUGUGGACUGUAAACUUGAAUGAGAAAAAUAAGUAAAGUAUAACCACAGCUAAAAUUAGCGAGGAGGAUUAAAUUGGCAUAUCAUUAAGAGGUUUAUAACCAAAUUGGCAUUAUUGAAAAAUUUAGAAUUAAAUUGACAAAUUUUCAAAAGAUUUAAGAUUAAAUUAGUAUGAUUAGAAGGUUUAUAACUGAAUUAGUACUGUACAAUAAUUUUAGAACUUUUUGGACAAUUUUCCUAGAAAAAAAAAAGUAACUAUGUAAAUUGUCGAGUGGGUUCCGAUCAUGCAUCUUUUAUCACUUCCACAAUUAGAACACUAUAAUUCUCUCAAUCAUUUCGACCCCCAAAAAAAAAAAGAAAAAUCUUAAUUUUGAAUCUUAUGUACAUGUAGGGGUCUAUUUCCACGGCCCACACAACCUAAUACCAGCUCCUAUGAACCCCCACGCCUGCUCUUGGUCCUCGACAGGCCUUUUGCUUAUACUGACUAUCUCGUCACCCUCGCCGGCACCGGGCUGAGUGAGGCAUGAAUGCUUUAACAUAUGCCAUAAACCCCAGCUCCCGUCGAGACCACAACCUCUCGUUCCCCGUCAAAGUUUGAGACGGAAGAAGAUAAGACGAUCGAGUAUUUCAUACCUAACUGCUACUAAGAUGGACGAUUGAAAAGAAUCAAGACACCGUAAUCCUUCUGUCGUUAAGAAAUGUUUUCACCAUCAGCGGAGAGGUCCCACCAUCAAAGAUUCAAGACUUAGCAACGGAAGCGUCAUAUAUGACGGGCUGAAAUAGAAGGAAUACGGUGCGACGCUUUUUAACAUGCUGAUGUUUCUCACGAACACCAUACACUACAGAAGGGGAAAAGGAAGAAAACAGAGAAAAUGACGCCUAGACUUUAUGCCCAAACGAAGGAUUACAUAAUAGCCAUAAUAUUUAUUUACUAAAAGUCCCCAGACAUGGAAGCGCCACGUUAACUGGUGACAGAGACACCACAGACGAUUCACUCACUCAGCCGCUUCUCUGACCUCGUCCACGAAGGCCCUGAGGUUCUUGUCCGAUGACCCGCCUUCCUUCACGGCCUCCCUCGCCAGAUCCCUAAAUUUCUUGGCAUUCCUUCUCAUCUCAUUCCCCUCCUCUCCAUCUCCCACCACCAGGUCCAAGCACCUCUUCACCUCGCUGCUCUCCACCAGGCCUAGCUCGUUGGGCGUCAACUUCACCCCGGUCCUCCACACGUCCGCCAGGAGCUUCGCGUUCGUUUGCUGAUCGCUCCACUGCGGGAACGCCACCACGGGCACCCCGCAGACCAAGCUCUCUGACGUGGAGUUCCACCCGCAGUGCGUCAGGAAGCACCCCACUGAAGGGUGGGAUAGGACCGCCACUUGCGAGCACCACGGCACUAUCAUCCCUAGCUUAUCUAGUUCUUCUUGGAAGCUCAAUCUAUCCUCGUCUCUCUCUUCUUUCCCGCUUUCCCGAAUGAUCCACAAGAACGGCCGGCCGACCUCUACGAGCGCCCGCGCCAUUUCCUCCUUCUGCGGCUUUGAUAGCACGGAGAUGCUCCCGAACGACAGGUAGAUCACCGACGCUUUUGGCUUGGUGUCCAGCCACUCCAUGUAGCCGCUCGAGCUCUUGAAGAGAUCACCUCCGAAGGAAGUGUCCGAUGGAUCUUGCCCGUCCAAAAACGCGGACGGUAUCAGGGGCCCAAUCCCAAUUACCUC